CAGCAGGGGCCUAAUAUGUCUUAACAAUCUAAAUAAUUUGCACUGCAACCUGUGCAGGUGCGGAUUGCUCAAGGUCUUGUCCAUCUUGGCAAAGGGUUGUUGACCCUUGCUCCAUAUCAUUCUGAAAGAUUUUUACUAUCCCCGUAAGUUAAUCUUGUUUUGAAAGAGUAGCAGUCUGCCCCAUGUUGCCAUUUUAAUAUGUAUAUUUGCAUCAAACCCAUUUGAUGUUGCAUCUGCAUGAGAGAAUGUUAUCAUAUAUGGAGGUAAUUAUGGUGGUCAUGUACUUGCUUAGUGUACCGAGUUGAUUCUUUUUUACUUGGUAUGAAUACAGUUGAUGGGGCAACUUGGUUCAAAACAGUCUUGAACCACCGACUGUGUGGUUAUAGCGAAUUCUUGGAUUUUGCUUGAUUUUGGAUGGUGUGAUACAUUUUGCAUGCCUGAACAAGUACUUAAGCCCUCUGAUUUGGCUAAUCGAAAGCAUUAAGAGUUAUGUAUGUAGUUUUCUUAAUCUAUCCAGAAGCAAUGGAUCAAGCGGAGUGACAUCAAGGAAUUCGUGUAAUUCACUUCAAAUUUCUAAUAAUCACCAUUAGUUUGUAGUGUCCUUGAUCCUUAACGUUUUUAAUUUAAGAAAUUAAUCUAGAAAGAGAUAUUAUAGAGCUCAGUGCUGUUGGCAUUAUCUUUACUCUAAACUACAUUUUGUGCAUUCAUGACCCCUUUUUCUUACCUUCUUUGAAGGACUGCACUGGCUGGACUCGUGACUUUUCUGCAUGCAUGUCUUGAUAUGAAGGCUAUUGUCUUGGGGAAGUACCAUUAUGUUCUAUACUUCCUUGUUCUUGCUAUGCAGGUUUGUCUUUUUUCAUGUUGGGUGGCUGUUAUGUCCCUUUUUUGUUUGUCUUUUUUACCUUCCAUGUCUUUUUUUUUUCUUGAUGCUGCUUACAAUAUAAUGAAUAUACUGUCUACAGCCAAGGAUGCUGAUGACUGUGGAUGAAAACCUGAAACCUCUGUCAGUACCUGUUCGAGUGGGCCAAGCUGUUGAUGUAGUGGGUCAAGCUGGUCGCCCCAAGACUAUUACAGGUUUCCAGACCCACUCAACUCCAGUUCUUCUGUCUGCUGGUGACCGAGCUGAGCUAGCAACUGAGAAGUAAGUUAUAUCAUCCUUGUGAGAUGUGCUGUUCAUUUAUUGCGUUGGGAGUCCUAUAAGUUAUAGGUCCUACAAAAAAUAUGUGAAUAAUAAGUGGGUAGUAAGUUGUAGGUUUUAUGAAAUGUAUAGAUAAAAUAUAUGUUUGACCCAGCUUAAACUAAAAUUUCAGUUAAAACUGAACGUAUGCAUUACAUGCUAAUAUCCAUUGGCCGUGCAGAUAUGUUCCUGUGUCUCCCAUUCUUGAGGGUUUCGUCAUCCUUAAAGAGAAUCCAGAGUACAGAGAGGAUAAUUGAUGCUAAAUUAGGUCGCAUGUGGCCUCAAUUUUCGUUUUUAAUCCAGUCUGGUCCAGAAUCACGCACUUGAACAUUUCGCUGUGAAAUAGAUAUCUAUGGCUGACUGAUGACCUUUCCCUUUUCCUAUUUAUCAAGUUUUAUCUAUUUUACCGCUGAGCUCUCGAGACGUGUUGUGUCUUUUGAAAUAGUGAUACAAUGCAUGGAACUAUUAAUUUCAUGGUCUUUAUUAGCAUAUUCUAUAUAUAGUCUUCUGCAACCUUAUGUAACUCAUGAAUUACUGCACUGUAAAUUUGUGACUUGAUCGCAAAAAAAAAAAAAAAAGACACCACGCUUUUACAUUUUUUUUCCUUCUUGUCCUUGAUGUUUUCUCUAUUCAAUGCAAUAGGUUAUGAGAGUCGAGUUUUAUUUUCUAGUACGAAAUAUAUUUCUGUAGCAUGGAUGAUUGUGAUAGAGCUGAGGCUUCAACCCGAGGACCUCGUUAGUGUUGUCAAGUAUAAAUGAAUAAUCUCUAUCAUGGAGAGCAAUAAAUAACGUGAAACAUGAAAAAUGGAAGCAAGAAUAAUCGAGAUAUAUGUGGGUUUACUCUCAAUGUGAAAGUUAUGUUAACUUUGCAGAAGGUUCGUCCUAAUACAUUUUAAGUGGGAGAAAAGUGUUAGGGCAGCUUGAAACAUGUGCGAAUUUCACCAUGUACUGCUAUAACACUUUGUCUCCCCACACUAGGGGCCUGUGAGCAAAGGAAGUUGUACAAUAGGUCUUCUAAGCAGAUUGAGAUGUAAUGCAUUGGCAUCUUAGAAAAUCCUUGAAACAUAUUGAUGAAUAUGGACUAAAAAAUACUUGAUAAUUUAAAGGAUAAAAAAUUAAAAUCACGAUCAUUUUAAAUAUUUAGUUGCAACAAACCUAUGCAACUAGGUUUAUCUUCGUAUUUCACAACCCCUAGCAUGUAUGGACUUGAAUUGAGAGGAGACCCCUUUUUUGGGAAAAAGAUCCACUUUUUAAAACCAAAGCUGUACCCAUAUGUUAUGAAGCCACUCAUUGUCUUGCUCAAGAGACCUCUUUGCUCUUUCGUUGAAAAGCAUGUGUGAAUCAACAUCACAAUAUUCAGACUACACAGCAGCUACUUGUAAAGAAUAUUCAAUAUUAACUAGGUACAUGAAUGUAAUAUUUGUUUUAUAGGACACAUUACAUGAAUGUUAAAAAAAAAAAAGAAGUUAAAAUCUUGUCGAUUGUAGUGUCGUAUACAAGUAACAAUAAUAUUCUAUAUAUGUGUGUGUAUGUAGAACUUAGGCCAAGACCUCAAGGAUCAAACCAACAUGUGAAAGCAUAUGAUUUGGAUAUGGUUGGCAUUACAUUUCUUGACUAGUUGCUUGGUUUCAUCGUUCAAAAGUCACACACACAUGAGCUUGCUCUUCUAGCCUUCAAGUUUCGUAUACAGUUUGACCUCAAUAACAUGUUGACAAAGAAUUGGUCAUGACAAACUCCCAUUUGUAAUUGGAUUGGUGUUGUGUGUGGCAGAAGGCACCCACGAGUUACACGCUUUAGUCGCUUCGACAUGGGUCCUAGAGGUACAAUCGCGAAAGAAUUAGGUCAUCUCUCAUUUCUUGUUCAUUUGGACAUUGGAAACAAUAGUUUCUAUGGCCACAUCGGAGACGAAAUUGGGCAUUUGUGUCAAUUGCAUAUAAACAUUCAAACAAGCUGACGGGUCAGAUUCCUACGAAUUUUGCUUACUUAUCUCAACUUCAGGACUUGAACCUUUUUGACAACAGUCUCACUGGACCUAUACCUGCUGCAGUGUUUAAUCUUUCCCCUUUAGUGAGCAUUUCCAUCGGAAAAAAAUCAAUUUUUUGGGACGUUUCCAAUGGACCUUUGUGACAUUUUGCCAAACAAGGAUUGAACCUUUUGCAGAAUCAGUUGAGUGGUUCUUUACCAACAAGUUUACCCAAUUUUGCAAAACUUGAGAAGAUCUCUGUCUGUCAACAAUUUCACAGAAAGCAUUCCAAUGGUGAUCGGAAACUUGACACAGCUAUAUUCUACUUGGGCCUCGAUAGUUUGAAUGGUACGUCUCAUCUUUCCUGUAAACUUGUUUCUGGCCUUAAAUUGACUUUUCUUUGCUUGAUCCACGUCGUCUGAAAGUAUAAGCAGUUCGGCAAGGAAGUAUAGUUCUUUUUACCAGUUCAUUUUUUCAAUUUAUUUCAGGAGAAUUGCCUUCAACAAUCUUUAACAUCUCGACCUUGGUGGAUAUUGAUGUUUCAUUCAAUCAAAUUUUUGGAAGAUUUCCUAAUGAUCCCUGCCAUCUCUCGACAAAGCUUGAAGUCUUCUAUCUUUUCAACAACCAAAUUUAUGGCCAAGUCCCGUCUAGUAUCUCACAUUGCCUUGUGCUCAAAGAGCUCAAUCUGUCCCAUAACUUACUCACAGAAAGUCUUCCUAUGGCAUCGGAAACUUAUCAGCGCUUCAAUGGUUGUAUUUGUACAGAAAUAACUUGACAGGUACCCAAAGUCCUUCCUUCAAUUCAAAUAAGUGGUGCAGCGUUUGGUAAGACUACUAAACAAUAUUAAAAACAAAAUAGAAGUUAAAAUCUUAUGUACUGUAUCAUUUAAUACUAUCUAAUACUAGUACCGAACAUGUCCCAGAAGUUUUUCUUCGAUGGAAUUAUAUUAAGAUUUGCAAUAACUCUACAGGUAAUAUUCCGAAUUCAAUUGGCAAUAUGUCGAACUUGGAGAUAUUCCAUGUUGGUUCGAAUAGUAUUCAAGGACAUGGUCCUGAAAAAUUGGGAGUUCUGUCGAAUAUGAAAGAGUUGUUUAUUGGUCCAAACAAGCUUGAGGGUGAAAUCCCGGAAUUCAUUUUUAAGCCGUUUAGUUUACAAGCACUUUCUCUCGUAGAUAAUUAUGUGAAAAUCUUCCAGCUACAAUAGGAAAAGGACUUCGCAAUAUAGAAAAGUGUUUAUUUUGGUGGUAAUCAAUUCAGUGGAUCAAUUCCAAGCUCUAUAGCAAAUGCCUCAAAGCUCACAUUACCUGAUCUUAUAAACAAUAUGUGUAGUGGAUAUGUACCGUUGGAUCUUGGCAACUUGAAACACCUCGAUUCUCUUAGCUUAGCGAAGAAUCAGUAGAAAAACGAUCCAUCUUUUCUUGAGUUGGACAUUUUUCUUUGAGAAAUUGUAGAUAACUUUCAAUCCUCUAAAUGGAAGGAUUCCAAAAUCUUUAUUUUCAAGGAAUCCGUCUCUGUCCCUUGAGUAAUUUUAUGCGGUUUCUAGUGGCUUCAAGGGCACGAUUCCAGGCGAAAAUUGGGAAUUUGGGCAAUUUAUGGUUGUCAAGCAUUGGAGGAAAUGACUUGACAGGAUCAUUGCCUCGAGCACUUGGAAACUUGACGAAGAUGCAAGCCUUGAACUUGCACGCUUGUAAAUUUCAUGGUUCGAUACCAAAAAACUUUUGCAAUUAUACAAAACCAUAUCAUUUAGAUUUGGAGGAAAAUAGGCUCUUUGGAGAAGUACCAGGUUGUCUAGGAGACAUUACGGCAUUGCGAGAAAUACACCUGGCAUACAAUGUAUUCAAUUCGACUAUACCAUCAGCAUUAUGGAGUAACAAAGACAUUGAGAUACUGGACUUGUCUUAUAAUUAAUCUCAGUGGUGUCUUGGCUCAAGAAACUGGCAGUCUAAAGAGCAUGAGAGAACUGUAUCUAUCAAGUAAUAGGUAUCAGGUGAUAUUCCAAGUACUGUCGGACAACUUCAAAGUCUAUUAAAUCAAUAUUAUCGAACAAUAAAUUACGUGGUUCUAUACCUGAGUCGUUUGUGACUUUGCUGGAUUUAGAAUUCUUGGACUUAUCCCACAAGUUCUAAGGUCUAAUCCUCAAGUCCUUGGAGAAACUUCCACAUCCCAAGUAUUUUAAUGUUUCUUUCAACCAACUCAGCGGUGAAAUUCCAGACGAAGGGCUUUUCUCAGACUUCACUGCUGAAUGUGUCACAGGUAACAUAGAUUUGUGUGGAGCAUCUCGAUUCAAGGUCGAGGCAUGUCAGUAAAACUAAUAAACCAAGACCAGUGAGCAAGAUAUGACUUUCAAUAUUACUGGUCAAAGUUGAACGUGCAUUGCACAUUAUUUUAAAAUACAUUAUAAGUGAUGUAAAAGUAAUAUUUGAUACCAAUUUGUUGCUGCUAUAAAGGUUCUCGACUCAAAUCUACAAGGUGCAUUCAAAAGUUUUGAUGCAGAAUGCGACAUAAUUUGCAAUAUUGGCUACAGAAAUCUUGUCAAAGUACUCGGCCGUUGCACAAAUCUCGAGUUUAAAGCCCUUUUGCUUGAGUAUAUGCCCAAAGGUUACCUCCACAAUUGGCUUUAUUCUCACAACUACUUCCUAAACGUAACUCAAAGAUUGCAAAUUAUGAUAAAUGUAGCAUCUGCAUCAAGGUUAUUCAUCUCCCGUUGUUCAUUGUGAUUUGAAGACAAGCAACAUACUUUUGGAUGAAAGUAUGGUAGGACAUGUGGCUCAUUUUUGGAAUUUUUAAGCUUUUGACAAAAGACCAAAGAAUUUCACAGACGAAGACUUUAGGCACCAUCGGGUACACGGCACCAGGUAAACUUCAAAUCGAUCAAUAAUAUUAGAAUCCAAUAAAUCAGUCCGAAUGAGCUUACUAAUGGGAUCUUCACAUGAAGAUAAGUUCUUGCAGUAGAAAUGAGAGCAUUGAAUUAGUAGUCAUGCAUUAUUUUUAUUUGAUUGAUUAAAACUAGCAGAAUACGGAUCGGCAGGACUAGUGCAGAUGUUUACAGUUUUGGGAUUUUAUUUAGGGAAGUGUUUGCAGGAAAACAGCCCACAGACGACAUAUUUUCGGUCAAGGUCAUGCUAUUUGUACUUGUUUAUUCACCCUUUGGUUUACUUGGGGCCACCUUCUCCUCUCACAUGGGGGUUGGACCCCAUGUCAUGACCCCCACCCCGACCUCAUGUGAGAGGAGUGAUGGGGUCGGAUAAUCCAAAAUGUCAACAAACAAGUACAAAUGACUUAAUUCUUUCGGGAGAAUCAAUGCUGAAGAGAUGGGCCUGGAAUCUAUAUUAAGUUCCUGAAUGAGAAAAAUGUUAUGACCAAACAAAAUCAGUUGAUAUCAGACAUUGGAGUAGCCAUAGAAUGCCCAACAGAAAUACCUGAGGAGAGGAUCAACAUUAAAGAUGUCUUGAUUAGCGUACAGAAGGUCUCUUUCUAAUUACUUAGGCUUAAUCCUUUAACAAUCUGUUUUAGAUUAUCCAAUAACAGCAACAUAUUUCAAAUGUUUAGCACAAAGAGAAAUGAAGAAUCGCACUUGUUCUUUCAUGCUUAACGAAAAUUUAUUCCCAAUGCAUAGUUCCAAAUCGCCACCUUUUAUCUUGGCCUGAAUAUCGAGGGCACAAGCUAUUCCACACUACGAUAGAGACAACUUUCAUUCAUUUCCUUGCGUCUCUGACAGAAAGGUUUUAUUCUUCCAAGGCCAUCAAUUCAUCGAGCGAGGAUGGAUCAAAAGCGAAAGUUACUUGAAACCAAUUCUUGAGUCCUAAAGCAACCCCAUUAACCUUGAAAUCUAACCCCAUUAACCUUGAAAUCUACUUUAUGAAGAUUGAAAUGACGAAUUCUAUAGAAUUUAACCCAAAAAAUAGUUAAAUAAUCCAGAAUUUAUUCUUUCACCUUGGAAAACGAUCAGGACUCUCCCUCAGCCAGCUUGUAACAGAAGUCCUCGCAGUCAUUACUGCAAUCAAGGAUGGACAGAUUUAACAUUUACCUGAUGCAAAAUCUUUUUGCAGAUAAUUCUCCAAACAAUUUCUAGAUCCCAAGAAUAUCAAAUUCUCUGGAGGUGUAGUCCCUCAACUAGCAGGUGGUAAUACAUCUCAUCAGAAAGGAUUGGGCGUACACCAGUAUCUCAAUCAAAGGCAGUUUCUGAUUGAUUCUUUGUCAUGUGAGGGAGAUAAAAUUUGUCGAACAAAUUAUUACAGUUACUACUGGAUUGGACAAAGAAUCUGAGUUCGUUGUUGUCCAAGUAACAUCCAAUCUGCAUACUUACUCCUUUAGAGAGACGAUGCUUGAAAAAACUGAAGGGGCACGAUUUCCAGACUCGAGUCACAAACCAUGUCAUCAAUGAGUUUCAAAUGAACAUCAGAAGGAAACAAACUCUACAAGAUCUCCUUGCGAAGGAGAAGAUGUUAUAUUCAUGAGCAGGAUCCACACCGAUGAUUUCUGGUUCUACAAUCUCUGGCCCUGCCGGAGAUCCCUCAUUCUACAGAAGAAUAGUUGGUGGACUGUACUAAGCAAUUGCGAUAAUGCCUGAGCUUUCAUGCGGUGUCAAGAACAUAUGCCAGUUUAUGCAAAUCUCAAGUAACAUCCACUCGAAAAUUGCCAAAAGAAUAACCAAAUACCUAAAAGGCACUUUAAAUUAUGGUCUCAUUCAGUCAUUCUUCAACAAUCUAAGAAUCCUUCUCAUAAGAUAUUUCAAUGCAGAUUGGGUAUCUUAUCCAAUAUCAAUUUCUGGAUAGUGUGUACACUUGGGGGAUAAACUUGUUUCUUGGAGCUUAAAGAACCACAGCACGAUAUCCAGAUCAUUAAAUGUUACCACAUAGAAUAACUCGAUCUUGAAAGCUUGAGAUCUAAAGGGUUAUAUGUAAAUAUAUGAUACACCACAAUCAUGGUCCCUCCCGAGCAUUACCCUCCUCAUUUCUUUCUCCCAUCAGUCGUCAUUUACCCAGCUCACAAAAUUUAAUGCAUGAGCAUGCUUGAAAUGGGUGUGCCUAUUCUAGCUAUUUGGGAAUGACUAAAGUUUGUGAAUACUGUUUAUUGUGUUGUGUGUUGAGAAUGAAUCUUUACCUAAUCAAAUGUCUCUUUAUAUGUCUAUAAACAGUUUUUUAGUUUAAAGAUCACAUUAAUAUAUAAAUGAUAAAUAAAAGCAAAUAAAUCUCUCAAUCACUUGCUCAAGAUCACAACCUCAAUGAAUAAUCAUUAUAUCAUAAUAACAUAACAAGUAUUAACAUAUUCUAGUUAUUUUAAAUAAAAUUAACUUUCAGCAAACUUCACAAUGUUUCACAACCAGUGGAGGAUAGUGAUAUUCUCCAUCAUUAUUUUCAUUACAAAUAGAAAAUGAAGAAGAAUCUUCUCCCAUGAAAAACAAACAUUUAUUGACUAACCCUUGUUGAUCCAAUGCGUGAUUGGAAUGGAGAAACUAUCAGAAUAUAUAGAAACAACAUUCAUUGUUUCUUUGCGUGUCUCUCAUAAAAAGCUUUUAUCCUUCGAAGGCCAUCAUCGAGUGAUGAUGGCUCAAUGGCAAAAGUUACUCGGAGCCAAUUCUUGAGUCCUACAGCAACCCCUGCAAGGAGAAUUUUACUCGUAUGUUAGCUGAUAAACCCAGUCAAUUCACUUUAUGAAGAUGGAAAUGACCAAUUUGAUACCAAAAUUCUAAGCAAAAACUACAAACAAAACUGUCCUCUGCAUGCCAACAGCACGACUCCAGAGGUUUUUGAAGCUUUCUUAGUUCUGAUUUGGUUGGCAUUAACACUCACCUUCCUAUAAGAGCUAACUAACACAAAGAUUCGUGAAUCCUAAUCAAAGCCCGUCAAGAUUUGACAAUUCAAAGUUGAGUGAAAAUAUGUAGUCUCGCAAACAUGCUUCAGCAACAGCAGUGUAGCCUACAUACAGUACCAUUUCGACUAAUGGGAUCUGCUGGUUUAUUCAAUUGCUCAAUGAGGAUUUCAUCAUUUCAAGAGGAAAUUAUGUCCACAAUUGGGAGACUUAUUUGGUAAUCUCUUCUUAACAUGAGCACGAUCAGUUUAUCACCCAUGAAUACAAUGGUCUCAUCAAAUCUUUAAAGCAGCAGAAAGUUACUUGCAAACUUUUUUAAAAAAAAGGGCCUUUUAUUUAAGCAGCUUACCAAGUAGAAGGGACAACACAGGAAACUCUCUGUCACCAUCAACAAACGGGAGGAAAUCUCAUACUAAAAAUUGUUCACAACAACGAGCGUUUUUUGUUCACUAUGACAACUACAGGGAAAAGUUAUUCAGCUCCUACUCUAUAAAAAGGUCAUUAUAGAAGAGAGUUCGUAUGAAAUCUAUGCAGUUGGAAUAACUAUGGGACAGAUGGACGGCCAAGGGGUUCAGUCAAGCCUGAACAUCCAUCAGCUUUUGAUGCCGCAGACAUGGAUCCAACACUGAAGCAGGAGUGAGAAGAUUCAUUUCUAAGAAAGGGUUUGGAUAAUAUGGAUACAUAUGGACCUCUUGGCACAUAUAUUUAAAGUUUAGUUGCUGCAUUGGCAAACCGAUAUGAUCCAGGAGUCGAGCCAGACGAAGGCGAGUGCGAGAUGAGAUCCGUUGAUAGUCGAUGACACACCAAUGACGCGAUCAAGGGCAAAGUAAGUGAAACAAGCGAUGAGAUUGUUCGUUCAAGAAACCAUUGAUGGAACCAUGUUCGAGACUCAAAAUGGAGUAACUUUCAUGUUCGGGUCGAAAGAUGAAUCAACUUGGAUCAAUUUAAUAUCGAAGGCCGAAGACGGAGGAAAAUGAUAAGCCUAUGCGAUCGCAUAGGCUUAUGAGGCUUGCGAUCGCAUAGAGGCAUACCGAAACUCAAGAUGGGAUUUUUAGUUGAACCAUGCGACCGCAUGGAAAUACACUUUGCGGUCGCAUAGGCCUUUUUUUUGGCGAAUUUCCUAUUUUUGGUAUUUUUCCAUAUUUUGUUAGAUUUUGAUUCUUUUCCAUUCCUAAUUAUUCUAGGUCGACUUUUGCACGAUUUUUACCUAGUUUUUAGGUUUAGUAUAGAUAGGAGUUUUCAUUCAAUUGUUAAGAAACCUUUGACAUUUUGAUAUUGAAUUAAAAGUGAGGCGUAUUGUCUUCUUUUUAUCGUUGUUCAUUGAACAACUUUGAACUUAUCAAAUAUUAACUUGUGGCGUUCAAAUAACCAGAUUUAAUGUUUGGAUUGCGUGAUCAAGGGAUCUUUCAAGCGUCGUUCUUGUUGGAUUUUUUGAUUCGACGUUCUUUUGGGUUAAUCCUAAACUCUUGGAUUAAUUUGGCUUUCUUAGGUUCGUCAAUCUCGUUGUGGGUUUUAUAGUCAACGUUGCUACGGAGUUCGCAUCAGUUAGUAUCAGAGCUUUGGCUCCAAAUUUAUUGAAGGUUAUAUCUUCUCUUUAUUUGUUUGAGUCGUUAAUUUUAUUUUCUUAGUUUCUUCUUCAGUUUUAAUUGUUCUUUCUUAGUUCUUCUUCGUUCUUUUUUUUCUUUUCGUCGUUUCGUUGAGUUGUUGGUAGUUUAAUCAUCUUCUUUCAUCAAAGAGUAAAAAAAAAAAGUACAAAAAAAAGUUACUGUACAUUCGAAGUACUGUUCACAAACAAAAAUAAAAUAAAAUAAAAUAAAUUUUGAUAUUAUUAUUGUUUGAUUUUGUUUUUCUACCAACAACAAUUCCUACAUUGUGCUUGACUUUGGGAUAUUCAAUUGGGUUCGAUUCUUUCAAUCUUCUAUUGAGUCUAUUCACAUAUUCUUGUCAAAAUAUUCAUCUAUUCCACUUAUUCAAGUCCUUUGAGUCUCGUGGUCUUCGAUUAGUAUUCGGUUUGCUUGAAUUCCUGGUAAAACAAUUGAUUUAGUUCACUUGGUUCUUUGAAGUGCUUGGAGGGAGACUUUGAGUGGUAAAAGGCCGAGUGGUGAGUUUAAUAGAGGGAAAAAGCCAUAGUGAGUGUUUUCCGAGUGAAAUCUUUGUGAAGCAUGAAAAAAUUGUGUGAUAUGAUGCCGGAAAGAGAGUUCUAAUUCAAGCCGAAACGGUAAUGACAACAAUGUAUCGGAGGACAUGAUAAGGAGGUUUGAAAGGGUACUUGGUAAUGUUAGGGAGAAGGUGGAUAGGCAAGGGGAAUGGAUGGCGCGAAUAGGUACUAUAAUUGCUAAUCUUAGCUGAGGACAAGUGGAGAUGUCUAAUGCUAGGGGGCCGGGUAGGCGUGAAUCUAGGAGAGGAAGACGAGAUAACUAUCGUAGUGAUGAGGAUGAUUUUGAUGAAAAUGACGUUGAUAUGGGUCGAGCGAGGCAUAGGGGCGAUAGGAUGAAAAGACGGGGUAGAAAUAACUUGGGAGAUGAAGUAGAUGGAAAUUUGGGGAGUAUUAAAAUGACUAUUCCUCAAUUUAAGGGGAGAAGCGAUACGGAAGCAUAUUUAGAGUGGGAAAGGAAGGUUGAGAUGAUUUUUGAGUGCUAUAAUUUUUCGGAGGAGAAAAAGAUAAAAUUGGCGGUACUUGAAUUUGUGGAUUAAGCGAUAUCUUGGUGGGAUCAAGUACUUACAUCACGGCGUAGGGGUCGGGAAAAGCCAAUUAGUACUUGGGAUGAAUUGAAGGUAUUGAUGAGGAGAAGGUUUGUUCCGAGUCACUAUUAUAGGGAAAUCCAUCAAAAAUUGCAAGGUUUGUACCAAGAAUCGAAAAGUAUAGAGGAUUAUCACAAGGAGAUGGAAAUUCUAAUGAUUCGGGCUAAUGUGGAGGAAGAUCGGGAAGCUACCAUGACACGGUUCUUGAAUGGGUUAAAUCGGGAUAUUGCAAACGUUGUAGAGUUGCAACACUAUGUGAAAAUCAAGGACAUGUUACAUGUAGUAAUGAAGGUUGAGAGGCAAUUGAAGAGGAAGGGGACAUCUAGGCAACUGUUAGGUACUUCGACUCCUAAUCCAACAUGAAAAUCGAAGUGGGAUGACAACAACAAAAACGGGGUUUGCACCUAGAGGUAAAAACGAUUGGCAAAAGGGCAAGGAUGAAAACGCUAGCAAACAAUAUAAAAACCGGAGGCACAACCGUCACGCAAUCGGGACAUCAAAUGUUUUAGGUGUUUGGAAACGGGGCAUAUUGCUUCUCAAUGCCCAAACAAACGGGCGAUAGUGUUGCGGAAUAAUUGAGAGAUUGUGAGCGAUAGUGAUGGCGAGUUUGAUGACAUGCCAAUGUUGGAGGAUGUUAGUGAAGAAGAAAAAGUUGAAGGGCCGAUUGGGGAUCUACUAGUCACAAGGCGAGCUCUUACUACUCACGUCAAAGCGGAUGAUUUGGAGUUGCAACGGGAGAACAUUUUCCACACUCGAUGCCACGUCAACAAUACGGUAUGUAGUGUUAUAAUUGAUGGUGGUAGUUGAACUAAUGUAGCUAGCAUAUCUUUUGUAGAAAAAUUGGGUUUAACAUUGUUGAGACACCCGAUACCUUAUAAAUUGCAAUGGUUGAAUGAGAGUGGCGAGGUGAGGGUGAAUCGAAGGGUGCUAAUUAAUUUGUCAAUUGGGAGUUAUAAGGACGAGUUAGUGUGUGAUGUGGUGCCAAUGCAAGCGGGGGCAUAUUUUAUUGGGGCGACCAUGACAAUACGAUAGGAAAGCUAUGCAUGAUGGGUUUAAAAAUCGAUAUAGUUUCAUUAAAGAUGGAAGGACCAUUACUCUUGUGCCAUUAACACCGGAGCAGGUCUAUGAUGACCAAUUAAAAUUGAGAAGUGAUGUAGAGAGGAGAAUCAAAGAGUUAGAAAAAAAGAGAGAAAGUGGUGAGUUAGAGAAGAAGAGAGAAAAUGUUGAAAAAGCCACCAAAAAGAAAAAGAGAGAGCAAGCAAAAGAAAGAAAAGAAAGGGAGUAUUCCAAGAGGAGAGAAAACAUGAGCGAAUUUCUUUGCAAAGGAGAAUGAUUUGAGGAUGGCGGUAGUUGAGAGAAAAGAGAUGAUAUAGUUCGUUUAUAAGGAAUCACUCCUCAAUUUUGAGGAAACUGACCCACCCCUCCCUAGUUUGGCAAAGUCUUUAUUGCAGGAAUUCGAGGAUGUAUUUUCGGAGGAUGCACCAAGUGGAUUGCCACAUAUUCGAGGCAUUGAGCAUCAAAUUGAUUUCAUACCCAGAGUUGUCAUUCCAAAUCGACCGGUUUAUCGAAGUAAUCCCGAGGAGACUAAAGAAUUUCAAAGGCAAGUGGAGGAGUUAAUGAGCAAAGGAUACGUGAGGAAAAACAUGAGUUCUUGUGCGGUACCGACUUUGCUUGUGCCAAAAAAGGAUGGAACAUAGCGAAUGUGCGUGGAUUGUAGGGCUAUCAACAACAUAACGGUAAAGUAUCGUCACCCCAUACCUAGGUUAGAUGACAUGCUUGAUGAAUUACAUGGUGCUUGCAUAUUUUCUAAAAUUGAUUUAAAAAGCGGGUAUCAUCAAAUUCGUAUGCAGGAGGGUGAUGAAUGAAAAACGGCUUUUAAAACUAAAUAUGGUUUAUAUGAAUAGUUGGUUAUGCCGUUUGAACUCAUAAAUGCACCUAACACUUUUAUGCGUUUAAUGAAUCAUGUUUUAUGUGCUUUUAUAGGAAAAUUUGUUGUGAUUUAUUUUGACAUCUUAAUCUAUAGCAAAGACUUAGGAGAGCAUAUGGAACAUUUAAAGUGUGUUAAUUGUUUUAAGGAAAGAACAAUUCUAUGCUAAUCUUAAAAAAUGCACGUUUUGUAUGGAUAGAGUUCUUUUUCUUGAUCUUGUAGUUAGUGCUAAUAGGGUAGAAGUAGACGAUGAAAAGAUAAAAGUUAUUAGAAAUUGGCCGACACCUAAAAACACAACAGAAGUUAGGAGUUUUCAUGGUCUGGCUAGUUUUUAUAGGUGUUUUGUGAAGGAUUUUAGCACUAUCACCAUGCCACUCAUAGAAGUAGUUAAAAAGAGUGUAGGUUUUUAUUGGGGUGAUGAAUAAGAACUUGCAUUUAAUACUAUUAAAGGUAGAUUGUGUGAAGCACCUGUUUUGGCAUUACCUAACUUUGAUAAAACAUUCGAGAUUGAGUGUGAUGCAUCGGGAAUAGGGAUUGGAGCAGUUUAAAUGUAGGAUCGGAGGCCUAUUGCAUACUUUAGCGAGAAGUUGAGUGGACCUGCUUUAAAUUAUCCUACAUAUGACAGAACUUUAUGCACUUAUUCGAGUUUUGGAAACUUGCCAACAUUAUUUAUGGCCGAAGGAGUUCGUAAUACACACCAAUCAUGAGUCACUAAAACACUUUCGGGGACAAGGUAAAUUGAACAAGAGGCAUGCACGGUAGAUGGAAUUCAUUGAGACCUUUCCAUACGUCAUUCGGUAUAAACAAGGUAAAGAAAAUGUGGUGGCGAAUGCGUUGUCGCGAAGGUACGUAUUGCUAACUACUCUUGAUUCUAAGCUACUUGGAUUUGAACAUAUUAAGGAAUUGUAUGAAAAAGAUGUUGAAUUUUCGGAUAUUUAUUUGUCAUGCAUAGAAGGGGCAGUUGAUAGGUUCUUUAGGUAUGAGGGGUAUUUAUUUCGGGAAAAUAGGUUAUGUGUUCCUAAUUGUUCUAUUCGGGAAUUGUUAGUAAGGGAGGCACAUAGUGGUGGAUUAAUGGGACACUUUGGGGUUCAAAAGAUUUUAAAUGUAUUGAAUGAGCAUUUUUAUUGGCCUAAGAUGAAAAGUGAUGUUGAGAGAAUUUGUAGUCGAUGCAUAGGUUGUAAAAAGGCUAAAUCUAAGGUUUUAUCACAAGGUUUGUAUACACCUUUACCUACACCUAGUGAGCCUUGAGUUGAUAUCUUGAUGAACUUUGUUUUAGAUUUACCUAGGACUAAGAGAGGUUGGGAUUCUAUUUUUGUGGUUGUAAAUAGGUUCAGCAAAAUGGCACAUUUUAUACCAUGUCACAAAACUGACGAUGCCACGAACAUUGCUGACUUAUUCUUUAAAGAGAUUGUGCGUUUACAUGGGGUUCCUAAAAGCAUAGUGUCAGAUCGGGAUGUCAAAUUUUUGAGUCACUUUUGAAGAGUUUUGUGGGGUAACUUAAGCACUAAGUUACUAUUUUCCACAACUUGUUACCCUUAAACGGAUGGACAAACCGAAGUAGUGAAUAAGACUAUGACACAAUUGUUACGCACAGUAAUCAAUAAAAAUUUGAAGAGUUGGGAGGAGUGUCUACCAUUUAUUGAAUUUGCAUACAAUUGAACUGUUCACUCUACUACGUCAUAUUCUCCAUUUGAAAUUAUAUAUGAUUUUAAUCCACUAACUCCUUUGGAUUUAAUUGUUUUACCUAUGAAUGAACGUGGUAGUUUAGAUGGCAAAAAGAAGGCGAAAUUGGUUAAGUCACUCCAUGAAAAGGUAAAAACGCAAAUUGAAAAUAAAAGUAAGUUGGUUGCGUCGCAGGCAAACAAAGAUAGGAAGCGCGUGACAUUCGAGCCAAAAGAUUGGGUUUGGGUGCACCUUAGGAAGGAGCGGUUUCCGGAGCAAAGGAAGUCCAAGUUGCAACCGAGGGGCGAUGGACCAUUUCAAGUGAUUGAAAAGAUAAACGACAAUACUUACAAGUUGGACCUUCCAGGUGAGUACAAUGUUUCGGCUACUUUUAUCUCUCUCUGUUUGAUGCAGGUUCAGAUUCGAGGACGAAUCCUUUUGAAAAGGGAGGGAAUGAUAUAAUCCAAGAGUCAAGCCCGACGAAGGCGAGUGCAAGACGAGAUCGUUUGAUAGUCGAUGGCGGACCAAUGACGCGAUCAAAGGCAAAGCAAGUGAAAUAAGCGAUGAGAUUGUUCGUUCAAGAAACCAUUGAUGGAACCAUGUUCGGGACUCAAAAUGGAGUAACUUUCAUGUUUGGGUCGAAGGGCGAAUAAACUUGAAUCAAUUUAAUAUCAAAGGCCGAAAACAGAGGAAAAUGAUAAGUCUAUGCGACCGCAUAGGCUUAUGAGGCUUGCGAUCGCAUGGAAGCAUACCGAAACUCAAGAUGAGAUUUUUAGUUGAACCAUGCGACUGCAUGAAAAUACACAUUGCAGUCGCAUAGGCCAUUUUUUUUGGCGAAUUUCCUAUUUUUGGUAUUUUUCCAUAUUUUGUUAGAUUUUGAUUCUUUUUCAUUCCUAAUUAUUCUAGGUAGACUUUUGCACGAUUUUUACCUAGUUUUUAGGUUUAGUAUAAGUAGGAGUUUUCAUUCAAUUGUUAAGAAACCUUUGACAUUUUGAUAUUGAAUUAAAAGUGAGGCAUAUUAUCUUCUCUUCAUCGUUCUUCAUUGAACAAUUUCGAACUUAUCAAGUAUUAAUUUGUGACGUUCAAAUAACCGGAUUUAAUUCUUGAAUUGCGUGAUCAAGGGGUCUUUCAAGCGUCGUUCUUGUUGGGUUUUUUGGUUCGACUUUCUUUUGGGUUAAUCCUAAACUUUUGGAUUAAUUUGGCUUUCUUGGGUUCGUCAAUCUCAUUGUGGGUUUUGUAGUCAACGUUGCUAUGGGGUUCGCAUCACAAACUACCUGAACUUCAUUUGGUACUUGCAUGCCUUCCAAAAACUCAAAACUUUGAAUGCUUCUAGUCUUUAUCAAGAAGUUUAUACUUUUAAUUAUGGACAACAUUGAGUUGGAGACUAAGAAGCUAGGCGGCACAACCGAGGUAGGUAGCAUCCAGAUGAGUUUGUCCUAAAGCUCAAAUCACAACAAUUUAAUAAAUAACUAGAAAAGGCAAGAAAAAUCAUAUUUUUGAUGUGGGUAUUUCAAACUUAUCAAGCAGUGUAUUGUAGUUGACCACAAGGGGCGACUAACAUUAUCGGGAUAGCUAAAUUUUGUUGUGGUCCAGAUGCAGUAGCAAGAGGGUUGUUCUGUUCAUGGUGUAUGGACCUCUCACAUUAGUGGGAUCACGUGAUAUCACUACCUCCUAUAUCACUUUUAGUAUAUUCAAAAUUUACUUCACAGCAUAAUCAUAUACAUUUAGCAUUUCAUGGUUUUACAAAUUAGCAGUUAUCUGUAUUUAAGCUAAUCGCAGAAUCCUGAAUUUAUUUUUUACCUGGGAGAACUAUCACGGAUUCCUCCUCAGCUAGCUUGCAACAGAAGUCCACAUCAUCCAUAAUCCCUUCCAGAAGGGACAGAUUAAGUUUUACCUGACACGAAAAAACUCCUAGCAGAUGAUUCCCCAUAUCAUUUCUAAGAUCAUAAGAAUAUCAAUUCUCAUGUCUUACCAUUACAAACAUGGAUCCUUCGGGCUUGCUUGGGCAAGUAAUGCAAUGGAUAUCCUUUAUUCGAUCAUAGCAUAGGUCUGCAGCUUCCUUAAGUGUAUUAACAAUUUUGGUGAAGAACUCGUUUGUCGUGUUUUUAAGAAUAUGAGGAAUUGCUCCCUGUUUACAUAAAAAAAAUAAAAUUUAUUUUCCAGAAAGUGUCACUCCCAAUGUUAUAAGUAAUCUACAGCUUUGUUUAUAAAAGCAGCAAAUUACUCUCAUCUCGUUUUAUACAAGACAGGACCACUGGUUUGGGAAUUUUACGUGGUUCCAUCUAUAAAGACUGGAACUGGAUCAAUUGGCAACUUUACAGAAAUUAAGCAAAUGCCAAAGCAAAACUGACAAGCGCAUUGUACAAACAGAAUAUAGCCACAAAAUAUCAUGCAAACACUUCGAAUAAUGCAAAAACAGAAACUAACAAACUAAGUUGCACGGGCAUGGACACAACAUGGAUACCCGAUUUUUCAAAAAAGUAGGGCACAAACACGUCAGGGACACGUUGACUUAAUUUCUUUAAAAUUUUGAAUCUAUAUAUUAUAUCUUUACUAUUAUAUAUACAUACGUUUUUAUAUAGGACAUGACACGCAUGCCAUAUUGGAUACUUGCCUGAGGGGUGUCUCUAAAGCAUCCCUUGAGCGUCAGUGACUUAAAACUAUAGAAAAUGGGACAACCAAGGAGUGUCUGUGCAUUAUUAACUAACAAAAACCAAAAUUAACACACAAUGGCCAAAAAUUUAAAAAAGAAAACGGAAAAAGGGCAAAAAAAAAAAAAAAAAAAAAAAAAAAAAAAAAAAAAAAGAUCCAUAACUAUGACAGUAUAAGAGAAACAUUGAAUGCGAAAGGAGAAGGUGGUCUACUCAUCGGCCAUGUGAUGCAAAGAAAAGAUCCAAAAAGUCAGGAUGAGGAAGAGAGUAGAGCAUGCAGAGAGAGGUUGAAGUAAAAUGUGAUUCUGAAGACUGAGGGGUUCAAUUUCUGGUUUCUACUACAGUAAUUAAGUGAUGGAUUCAUUGAAGGAGAAAGGAGGUGGUCUACACAUCGGCCAUUUGAUGCAAAGAAAAGAUCCAGAAAUCAAUAUGAGUAAAAGAUUAGAGCGUGCAGAGAGAGGCCGAAGUAAGAUGUGAUUCUGAAGACUGAGGGGUUCAAUUUCUGGUUUCUACUACAUUAAUUAAGUGACGGAUUCAGGACAAAGUUUCAAGGAAAAGAGAGAUUUCGGGAAACUCGACUUAAAAUCAAGAACUGGAUCAAAACUGUCCUACCUAGUGCGAUUUCAGUCAUUCAUAUACAAAAGCAAUGAGCCCAUAAAACUAGAGAAAGACAUUUCAAAUUGUCCUCAGUCAGUUGCAACUCAGUUAAUAAGACUUCUGAUUUUCAUAUGCUUAGAUGGGGCAGGAUACUCUCCAACACUGAUAUCUAUCAGCAACCUCCGGUCUUUUUCCAAGAUCACAUUGUAUAGAAACUUACUAUGUGCAUUAUUUCAUAUGAAUAUGAUGUUUAUGUACAAGUUGUUUGUUCAGUUGCCCCCAAGUAAUGCUAUGGCUGUCCAUUAUUGUGGUGAAAUCAUCUUGAUACCCCACUUACAUACAGUUUUGACGAAAAGAUGAAAGGUACAAGACCAACUCAUAAUCAUGUCACAUAUACUAGGAAAUUCCAUGGAUGCAAAAAAGCAUUUGAAAUAACAAAAGGAACACUUAGCAUAUACUGUUUUGAAGGGAAAAAAAAUAGAGAAGGCUUAAAGUGAACCUGAACAAAGGUUGCUGGAUCAGAGGAAAUAUUCAGAUAACCCUUGAUGCUAUCAACAAUCUGCACUUAUGAAAACACAAGUGGGUUUCAUGUGAGUCAUUAGAAUAUCUGUAUAAAUAAAAAGGUACACAGAAAUUAUACCGCUUAAAUUUAAAAGUUAAAAACAUGCAAACACCGACACAAUCAUAGUCAUUAAUAACUCGUGCUCGGCAGACCACUGAUGCCACAGAUUGAAAUGCUCCAAGCACUUGUUUUACCUGGUACAAUAUUGCAUCUACCAAACCAGCAGCUUACUACUAAUAGUGAUGAGGACAUCGAACGUUUACAUAUUUUAUUUAAGCUUUAUUUAUUUUUGGACUUGUAUGGGCUCAGGCCCAAUCUCGUUAGGGUUGCUUUACUAUUUAAACCUAUUUUGCAUUAUAAUUUUCAGUUGAUGAAUGAAUAAUAUUUUGGUAGCUUAUAGCGCAUUCCUCUCUUCCUAUUUUCUUUCUUCCCUUCUGUUGAGUCUCCGUCCCCUUUCUUCUCUCUAAUUCCCCCUCCCCAUAGAUCUAUUCUAAUUUGCAAUUAACUGUCCCGUUGGUGCUGUAUCAAAUUUGGUAUCAGAGCCGAACCUUGAGUAAUUUCUUUCCUACAAUUCAAAAUUUCUUUACUAAUGAUGGAGAGGUUCAGCGCUUCCUCGUUCGUUGGGUUGGUCGACCAGAUUCUGAUUGUACAUGGAUCUCCAGAGAGACACUACAACAAUUGUAUCCAAGAUUUAAUGGAAUUUUAUCGGAGUCAGCAGGAUCUUCGUUGGCCUAGAUUGCCUCCCGUUCACCCAAGGGGAGUUGGUGAGGACACCAGGUUCAGACCUCCACUGACACAUUUUUACAGACGCCGGAAGAAGCUUGCCCAACCACUCAACUUAUGGUUGGGAGAUUGACGAUAGCCUAUAAUAAUAUAUCCAUUCAAUAGGGUCGAGUUUUCUCCCACCCCAAAAGAGUUGAUGAGGAUAUCAGACGUUUACUUAUUUUAUUUAAACUUUAUUUAUUUUUGGACUAUUAUUUAAAAUUUGGACUUGUAUGGGCUCGGGCCCAACCUCGUUAGGGUUGCUUUACUAUUUAAACCUAUUUUACAUUGUAAUUUUCAGUUGAUGAAUGAAUAAUAUUUUGGUGGCUUAUGGCGCAUUCUUCUCUUCCUAUUUUCUUUCUUCCCUUCUGUUGAAUCCCUAUCCACUUUCUUCUCUCUAAUUCCCCCUCUCCAUAGAUCUAUUCUAAUUUGCAAUUAACUGUCCCGUUGGUGCUGUAUCAAAUUUGGUAUCAGAGCCGAACCUUGGGUAAUUUCUUUCCUAUAAUCCAAAAGUUCUUAUCUCUUCCCAAAAUUUGUUAGAACAACACAAUUGAAAUAGAUUUAGCGUAAAAGCAGCUUUUUUCACUUUUUAUUUUUAGUUCUCUGUCAUUCGAAAAAAAAAAUCGCGCUACUGUUCACAGGUACUGUUCGCACCUGAAAUUCCAAUUUAGAAUUUUUACAAUUAAAAAAAAAACAUUUAGAGAGAAAUUUCAUUCGCUGCUGCUGCUGCUAAAGUGUUGUUCUAACCCUAAUUCUCAAAUAUUGGCCCACAUACAAAACCAACCCAUAACCCCAAUCCCAAACUCACUCAGCCCGUAGCCCACUACCCAACUCCCAUUCAUCCAUUUUCAAAUCAUUAAUCCGUUUGGCCCAAUUAACCCUAGCCCAUUAUAUACGAACUCAAACCGGCCCACACAAACAAGACUCAAUCCAGGCAGCCCGAUUCUAACGCACAGGAUCCCGAACCCGGCCGGCCCAAAUUACCAAAAUACCCAAUCCAUAUUUCACAUAACCUAUUCUAACUCACCCUUACCUGGCCCACAUAAUUAACCCAAUGCUCCAACCUACCAAUUGUAAUUCACUCAACACACCACUAUCCACACAUCACAGUCCAAGCAACCGCCUAUUGCCGCCACACUUACAGUCCCCAACGUUUCCCUUUUCAUCCCUGCAGCCACCAAAUCACAUACUUAUCUCUACUGCACUUCAAUCGCGCCACACACACCAUAUUCACAAACCCACAGUCACCACAACCAGUUUCAAGCAGCUGUUCAAAGGAAUUCGUAGUAGUCAGAGGCAAUUUGUUGUGAAAUUGGAAUUACAAUCCAACAGGAGUGAAUUCUAAAGUUGAAGGCAAUUGAAGAAAGGGAUAGGGCACAAACAUCCCUGGGCCCCACACAUUAGCAAGUCAAUCCAGCCGGAAUACUGGAGUCACAACCGAACUGCAGGGAGUCACUUUUCUAUCUAUCUUUCGUUUAUACCAUUGCUUCCCUUUAAAAUUGCAUCAGUUACAAUAUUUGUGUUGCUGUCAUUUGAUAAAUUUAGCCUUACGCCUACUUGAUUGGGAUUCUCGAACUAACUCCCAUUGUUCCCUGAUUACCCCACAUAUUUAGACAUCUCGAGUAUCUCGAGUAGUCCAUUGUAUCCUUGCUUUAUAUUUUAUUUGCACCAGUAUUAUUAGCUUACACGUUCGGACUGCGUAAUCCCAUCUUUUAAAUAGCUAAAACAAAGAAUAAUAAUACUAAAACAAAAAAAAAAAAACAUUGCUAUUUCAUUGUUGAUACCAGUGUUUGUUGAUGUCAGUAGUGCACUUCACUUAGCUUGUGUUACCGUGUAUGCAAUUGCGUAAUGGUCGCGUUACUGCUUCUAGUUCUAGUACCCUUGCCAUGGAUCCUUCCCAAAUUGAAGUUCUCACCCGACAGUUGGCACAAUUACAAAAUCAAUUAACAACUGUUCAAACUAAGGUAGCCGCUACUUGUGAGGAGAAUAGAGCCCUAACCGCUAGGUUGAACACUCUUGACCCAACCCCAUACUCGACUUAAGCUGAAAACUCUGAAAUUUCAGUUAAUAGGCCUCAUCGUUGUCCACAAGGUGGUCGACACCACGCCAGACAUGAUCUUAGGGAGGGAAAUCAAGCUUGUGGACGAGAGCAGGAAUAUUACCGUCAUGGUACACUAUCUCUCCCUCGCCACGAGGAGCGCCUCUUUCGAAAUAUUAAACUAGAUGCCCCUACAUUUGAUGUUGUCCUGAUCCUAAUGUAUUCAAUCAAUGGGUUAGAGAUAUGGAUCGCUUCUUUGCCUGGUAUAGGGUCCUGGAAGAUUGGAGGGUACAAUUUGCCGGUUUGAAAUUAACUGGCACUACUCAACCCUUUUGGGAAAGUGUUGAGGACCUUCUGGAGAGGCGUCAUGCUCCCCCUGUUGGGAGUUGGGAUGAAAUGAAACGUCGCCUUCAAGAAAAAUAUUUACCUCAAUCUUAUAGGAGUAACUUGCUAAAUCAAUGAAACGCACUUACGUAAGGCAGUCGACUUGUGACCGAAUACGUUGCUCAGUUUGAUGAGUUUCAAAUGAGAGGUCAAGUCGUUGAGGAUGAGGUCAUGAUCUUGAGUAGGUUUAGGCAACGCCUAAGAGAUGAUCUUAGAUGUGAGCUUGUCCUUAGAGGCGUCACCACUCUUGACCACACCUACUCUUUCGUUCGGGAUUACGAGUUAGUGACUAGGACACCGUAUAGAAAUCGUGGUGACUCCCGCACUGCAACCUCUUCUGCAUCCACUCCAUCCCCUAAGUCUAUUCUAGGAUCUCCUCCUUCUAAUACUACCCCCACAUUGGAUAGCAAAGGUCGAGCUUCGAUGUUUCAAGAAUGUCCUCCCGUUUGCAAUGCUUCAACUGUAAAGGUUUUGGUCACAUUUCUUCUAAGUGUCCUAGCCAAGCCCUAGUUAUGGAAGAGCGUGAAGGUAUAGUCGACGAACCACUAGAGGACCAGGUUUAUGAGCCUAAGUUAGAAGAGUUUGAUGACUUGGAGGAUAGUGAAGAUACCUUCUUAGGUUGUAUUCAGGCUAGUCCCCUUAUUCCACAUACACCUAGAGUCGGUGUCGUCCAUUGCACUCUUCCCCAGCUUAGGGAUGCCGAUGAUUGGCGCCGUCAUGCCAUCUUCUACACUUACAUCAAGAUUAAUAACAAGGACUAUAAAGUUAUCGUAAAUAGUGGCAGCUGCAUUAAUGUGGUUUCGAUGGCUACUGUAUCCCGUCUAGGGUUGAAGUCUGUUCCUCACCCUCAGCCAUACAGCGUCUCUUGGGUUGACACCUCUUCUAUAGCUGUCAAGGAGCGUUGUUUAGUCCCUAUCCAAUUCCUCGAGUAUAAGGACCAUAUAUAGUGUGACGUCAUUUCAAUGGAUGUCGGGCACAUCAUCUAGGGACGACCUUGGUUAUUUGACCUAGAUGUAACCAUCUAUGGUCGAUCUAAUUCCUGCUCCUUCGUGUUUAAUAGAAAGAAGAUUCACCUUAACCUUCUGCCCCCAAAGCCUGUUGGCCCACUGGAAAUGAAGAAGAAUGUGGAACGAAAGGGAUUGCAUAUCAUUAGUCCUACGGAGUUUGAGCGUACACUUGUUGGUGACUCAAUUGUGUUCGCUUUGGUGGUCAUGGAAGUUUCAUCCCACUCCACAAUAGAGAACCCUGUUGAAGUCAGUCGAUCCUCCAAGAGUUUCGAGAUGUCUUUCCUGAGGACCUACCUGAUCAUCUACCUCCUCUAUGGGAUAUUCAACAUGCCAUAAAUUUUGUCUCAGAGGCAUCCCUUUCAAAUUUGCCUCAUUAUAUGAUGAAUCCUACCGAGCACGUUGAACUUCAAAGGCAAGUGGAUGACCUCCUUCACAAAUGAUUCACUCGUGAGAGUUUAAGCCCGUGUGCUGUCCCCGCCCUAUUGAUGCCCAAAAAGGAUGGUUCUUGGAGGAUGUGUGUGGAUAGUCGUGCGAUCAAUAGGAUCAUGGUGAAGUAUCGUUUUCCCAUUCCUAGAGUUGACGAUAUGUUAAGUAUGAUGGUUGGUGCCACAAUCUUUUCGAAAAUUGAUCUGAAGAGUGGAUACCAUCAGAUUCGAAUUCGCCCAAGCGAUGAGUGGAAGACUGCGUUUAAAACGAAAGAUGGAAUGGCUGGUCAUGCCUUUUGGGCUAAGUAAUGCGCAAAGUACCUUUAUGCGGGUAAUGACGCAAACUCUUCGACCUUUCAUGGGUAAGUUUCUUGUUGUCUACUUUGAUGAUAUCCUCAUCGUUAGUAAGACUAAGGAGCAACACCGUGACCACCUCACACAAAUUUGCUCUGCCCUUCGUGCAACCAAUCUGUAUGCUAACGUCAAGAAGUGCACUUUCUUCACCGAUACAGUUGUUUUUCUGGGGUUCAUUGUCUCUUCGACAGGAGUAUCUGCUAACCUUGCUAAGGUUCAAACGAUUAUUGAUUGGCCUGAGCCUAAAGCUAUUCAUGACGUCAGGAGCUUUCACAGUUUAGCUACAUUUUACCGUCGCUUUAUCAAGGGGUUUAGCACUAUUAUGACGCCUAUCACGGAGUGCAUGAAGAAAGGAGAAUUUCAUUGGACACAAGAGGCGGCUAAGGCCUUUAAGUUAGUCAAGAAGAGAAUGACGGAGGCUCCUAUUAUGCGUCUUCCCGACUUUUCCAAAGUCUUUGAAGUUGAAUGUGAUGCCUCCGGGGUAGGUAUAGGCGGAGUCUUGAGUCAGGAUCGUCAUCCUGUUGCCUACUUCAGUGAGAAGUUAAAUGAAGCCAAACAACGGUACUCAACUUAUGAUAAGGAACUGUAUGCGGUGGUCCAGGUUUUGCACUAUUGGCAUCACUAUUUGUUGCCCCAGGAAUUUGUCCUUUAUUCGAAUCACAAGGCCCUCCGUUACCUCAACUCCCAGAAACGAUUAAGCUCUAGGCAUGGUCGUUGAGUCGAAUAUUUGUAGGCCUACUCAUUUGUUUUAAAACACAAAAAGGGAGUGAAAAACUAAGCAGCUGAUGCAUUAAGUCGUCGUGUCUCCCUUUUGUCGAUCAUGAGUGUCAAGGUCAUCGGUUUUGAAAGGCUUAAGGAGGAUUACGAGGCAUGUCCCGAUUUUAAAGAUAUCUUUCUUGAUUUACAAAGGGGACAAUCAAACGCCACAAAUGGCUUCCGACUUGAGGAGGGUUAUCUCUUUAGAGUCAAUAAAUUGUGUAUCCCUCGAACUUCAUUGCGAGAUUUCAUAGUGUAGGAAGUUCAUGCGGGAGGGUUAGCCAAUCACUUUGGACGUGAUAAGACCAUAGAGGAAGUUGAACGCCAAUUCUAUUGGCCUAACUUGAAGAAAGACGUGGCUAAGAUUGUUAGUACUUGUAACACUUGUCAAUUGAGUAAACAGAAGAAGCUGAACACAGGCCUAUACACCCCUCUUCCCGUCCCCAAUUGUCCUUGGCAAGAUGUUAGUAUGGAUUUUGUAUUAGGCCUUCCACGCACCCCAAAGAAACAUGAUUCUAUUUUUGUGGUUGUCAACCGUUUUUCGAAAAUGGCUCAUUUUUUCCCCCUGUAGCAAAACCUCAUAUGCGUCUAAGGUGACUAUGUUGUUCUUUAAUGAGAUUGUUAAAUUGUAUGGGCUUCCUAAGACCAUUGUGUCCGAUAGGGAUGUUCGUUUUACUAGCCAUUUUUGGAGGACUUUGUGGCAAAAGAUGGGUACCAAAUUGAAAUUUUCUACUGCCUACCACUCUCAGACUGACGGUCAAACUGAAGUAGUUAAUCGAAGUCUUGGUAACCUCUUACGUUGUCUGGUCUGGGAGAAUUUUCGAAAUUGGGAUUUGAUCCUUCGUAUAGCUCAAAUUGCGUAUAAUAGCUCCAUAAAUCGUUCAUUAGGUAUGAGUCCAUUUGAAGCCGUUCAUGGGUACAAGCCUAGGAAACCGUUAGAUCUCAUCCCUAUGUCCCCACAGGCUAGAGUGUCAGCGUCAGUCGAAGCAUUUGCACAACAUCUUCGUGAUUUGCAUAUUGAGAUCAAUAAACAACUUGAAGCUAGUAAUGCAAAAUAUAAAUUUCAAGCUGAUUUGCAUAGACGACAUAUUGAGUUUAACGUUGUGGAUUACGUUAUGGUCCGCAUUAGGCUAGAGCGGCGUCUACAUGGACCCGCCUCCAAAUUGCAAGCUCGUAGUGCUAAUUCUUUUAAAAUUUUAAGCCAAGUUGGUCCAAAUGCCUAUGUUGUUGACAUUCCACCACAUUUUGGUUACCAUUAUACUUUCAAUGUUGAGGACCUAGUAGCUUAUAAAGGUCAUUUCAUUCCCUCAAAUGAUCCUUUGUUACCCCCUUUUGUGGACCUUGAUCCCGACUAUUUGGCCACUUCUAACCCACUACCACCUCUCACAGCACACACAGAUAAAAUUGAUGAUAUUUUAGAUGAAGAAACUGUGUUUACUAAUGAUGGAGAGGUUCAGCGCUUCCUUAUUCGUUGGGUUGGUCGACUAGAUUCUGAUUGUACAUGGAUCUCCAGAGAGACUACAGCAAUUGGAUCCAAAUUUAUUGGAGUUUUAUCGAAGUCAGCACAAUCUUCCUUGGCCUAGAUUGCCUCCCGUUCACCCAAGGGGAGUUGGUGAGGACACCAGGUUCAGACCUCCACUGACACAUUUUUACAGACGCCGGAAGAAGCUUGCCCAACCACUCAGCUUAUGGUUGGGAGAUUGACGAUAGCCUAUAGUGAUAUAUCCACUCGACAGGGUUGAGUUUUCUCCUACCCCGGGAGAGUUGAUAAGGAUAUCGGACGUUUACUUAUUUUAUUUAAACUUUAUUUAUUUUUGGACUAUUAUUUAAAAUUUGGACUUGUAUGGGCUCGGGCCCAAUCUCGUUAGGGUUGCUUUACUAUUUAAACCUAUUUUGCAUUGUAAUUUUUAGUUGAUGAAUGAAUAAUAUUUUGGUGGCUUAUGGCGCAUUCCUCUCUUCCUAUUUUCUUUCUUCCCUUCUAUUGAAUCCCCAUCCCCUUUCUUCUCUCUAAUUCCCCCUCCCCAUAGAUCUAUUCUAAUUUGCAAUUAACUGUCUCGUUGGUGCUGCAUCAAACAGUGUGUGAAUACUUUGACGUCGUCGGAAAGUCUAUCAUAUCAUUAGGAUAAAAAUAGCAUCACCUUUUUCCUUCAAUGAAAGAGAAACCCCAUACUCAUGAAACACCAAUCUUAGGAAAGGUUAUCUAAGUUAAAACUGAUUUAUCGGUUUAUUUCAUCUUCGUCGAUGAAGCUUUCUCUGCAAAUUAAAAUGUAGAAAUCUUGUAAUUCAGCAGUUGUUACAUCCCAUUUCAUAUUAGUCAAAGGUCAAUACUAUUUAUUGAAAGUAAAUGUUUGACUAGUCAAAGUCAAAUAAGAACUUAAAUGAAAUAAAUAAUUUUAGUGAGACUUAAUUGACCAAAAUUUUUUUGGGAGUUUAUUUUACAAAUUGACAACAUUAGAAGGUUUAAGAUGGGUAAAAUUUAAAUUUGGGGAAAUACUUAUUAAUUAUUAAAAGUUAGAUGACUUAAUAAGAUAUCAUGUGAAGCUUGGGGGACUUGAUAGCAAAUGGGUUGAGUGGUGGAUUACAAGUGGCACUUUGCAUGCCAUUUCUUCAUUAUUCAUAUUACAUACAUACACACAUGAAGGCUGAGGAACGAAUUGGGGCAGAAAUACUGAAAAAUCGGUAGAAAGAAAGGAAGAAAAUAAGAAGAAAAGAGAAGAAGGGGGGGGGGGGGGGGGGGGAAUUGGAAAAAGGAAGGAAGAAAAAAAUAGGAAAGUUCGCCUAUGUUGUUAGAAAAUAAGUGGUCUACACAAUUAGACUUAAAUUCCCCAAUUUUGGGUAAGUAAAAAGUUACUUAUUGUCAAAUUAUGUUUAAUUUUAUAGUUGUUACAUUAAAUUCAAUUUUAUUAAAGGGAUUAAGUAUAAUAAACUAUGAAAUCAAAUAAAAUGAAAGAAAAAUUAGUUUUAGUAAUUAAAGAGACCUUAAAAAUCGCUUAAACGUGAAAUAAUUAAGGUUGAAUAUCGUCUAUUUAAUUAAUGAAAUUACUUAAAAUAAUUAAUUGUUGGUUUAAAAAUUAUAUUAUAUUUCAGGUGGCGAUACGGACAUCGGGACAGGGUACCAUCCGAGUUGAUUUUGGUUUACAUAGUUCUGUGAGUGGAAAAAUAUAAAUAUUUUUAAAAUAUUUAUAAAUUAAGUAUAUUAUCAAAAUAUGUGCAAUUAUGUGUUCGAUUAUAUGAUUAUUAUGGAAAUCUCUUUUAUUAUGAUACAUGUGGAAUUUCAAGGAUUAUUUAUUGUACAUUUGUGACUUGAUAUAUGAGACAUGUGAUAUUGAGAUUUGUUUGGUAUGUGAGAUGUGAUAUUGAGAUCGGCCAGAAAAGUACCGGUGAUUAUGUAUUUCUAGUUCACAGAGGGGCCUUGGCCGUGUUCUAUACCACACUGAGGGAUCGAGUGGGGAUGAAGGGGUCGUGACCGUGUAUAUAUAAUUCACUGAUGGGCAUUGGCCGUGUUUUAGAAUUGAUUAAUAGAGGUCUUGAGACCCGCUUUCAUUCACGGGGGGGCUAAAGGCCCGUGGCGAAAGUCCUUAGCCCGAGGGACAGAUUACAAAUUUUAGUCAGAGGGUACAUUUUUUGUGAAUUUUCCAGUACAUUUGAUGUGAUGAGAUUAUAGCAUGAUUACUAGCUUAUAUUUAUAUCAUGACUUGAGAUGAUAUUUUACCAUGUUAUGUGAAUGUCUCACAUAUUGGUUAUAAUUAUAUAAUGUUAUCUUGCAAGUUAUCAAUGAUAUGAACUCGAUUUUCGAUAAAAAUGUAAAAAUGAAAAAGUAUAAUUAUUUUCGAACUUCUCCACUCACUGAGCUAUCAACUCAUAUAUUUUCCCGUAAUUUUCCUACAGAUGGAAAUUGAUUCUUUUUAACUAGGAGAGCUUAAUGAUUUCGGAAUGAGAGCCACACGACAUGUUGAAUAUUAUAACUCAUAUUAAUGAAGCACGAAAUAAAUAUUUUGGGCCCAUCGCAUUAUAUUUUACAUAAGCAUUUGAUUUUGUUGCAUUUUUUGAAAUAACUCACAGUCAGCCUUGGUGAUAGAUUUGACAUCUAGUCAGCAUCUAUCAUCGACGCACAUCACGUUUCGGGUCCACUAGGGUGAUUCGGGACUGAUCAUGUCAACAGUAAUAUUGAUAUAAGGUAAAAUAUCUAUCAGUUGCAACACAAUACAACAAGCAAUUUUCCAAUCCUAUGGGGGUGUAACAAUAUGCAUGUCUUCUAAGGGAGAGUCUCAAUUUAUCCAGCAUUACUGGCGAUAUGCAAGGCUUAUAAGUUAUAUCUCCUUCAGUUCCAGAUAUCAGAAACUUUAAGAGGACAUUAAGACAGACAGUACCUCCAGCUCAGACUCAUUCAAGCAAAUAAAGCCGUAGAUUGUUUGGGAUAUUGCAUAUGUAAUCAGUGCGUAAGUAUCUUGGGUUAAAAUUUUGUUGGAAAGUACCAUUGGAAAGAUCUUCAAAAAAGAAAUGGAUUCCUUUACCAAGUUAAAAUUCCAGGAAGGACUUCUAAGGGAUAUUAUUCAUUAUUUUAUGUGAUCGUGCAUCUUUGUAAUACUCUAUUACAAUCUAUUAAGCAUUGACAUGAGACCGGAGACGACAUGACACAAACAUGGUGACAGUGAUAUAUAAAAAUAGGAUUGGGCAUUUUGGCAACGCAUGACAAACCACAGCUCUUUUAUGAAUUCAGAAAUUGAAUUUCAAGAUUUGAUCAUUUGAUGAUAGAAACAUUUUAUUGAGAUUUAUUGAAUAGCAAUUCAUUAAUGUUGUGGGGGGGGGGAACCACUUUUAGAUGCAUUGCUGAAUUUCAGUCUUGCAAAGUAUGUUAUGCUUGAUAUGCAAAACUAGUAAACAACUAUAGUCAUGAAGAGAAGGAAUCUGGAAAUGGAGAGAUUACCCCCUGAUUCUUAAGGAUGCCAUUUGUAUCAUUAGUAAUAAGCCAACCAAGUCUCCAACCAGGAACAAUCCAUCUCUUUGAUAUAGAUCCAACUGUAACAAUAGGAGCAAUUGACCCAAAGAUUCCCAUUGGAACAAAAGGGUUAUUCCCAAAGGUGAGGUGAUCAUAAACUUCAUCAGAAAUUACUAAGAUUCCAAGCUUUCUUGCAGUCUCAGCAACCUAAGAGAUCACAUGAACAAUCGUUAAUAGAGUAACUAUAAGCUAAACGUUCAGUUAAAUAGUAUGUGAAUCCCGAUUGAACCAUGCAAUUAGGUACCUUCUUCAAGUGUUCAUAUGAAAAAACAUUCCCACAUGGAUUGCCUGGAUUGAUAAUGACCAUAGCAGCAGUAUUUUCAUCUGCAAGAGCUUCAACUGCAUCAAGAUCAACUUCCCAACCUCUUUCUGGAAUAAGAUUAAAAUGUCGGACUUCAAGAUGACAGAAUCCAGCCCUAGAUUCAUAAUAAGGGAAGCCUGGUCUUGGGAGCAGAAUGUUAGCAUUGGGGCGAGCAAGAACUUGUAAAAUGACUUCUAGUGCUUGAGUACAUCCAAUUGUCAGAUAUACAUCAUCCGGAGAUAACUUGUAUGGAAGAUCUUUUGAAAGAUAUUCUGCUAUUGCACUGUUCAGAAAAUAAUAGUUCCAGAUAGACCAUUAUGAACUGGAACAUAACCAACACACAAUACGUGUCUUGCGAAUUUUUUUAUAAAUAUGAGCUUGUUUAAUUUAAAAUAUGCAAAAAAAAGUAUGUAAUUUCUGUUCCUCUAAAUUUUUUAUUCUAUCAAGUAAUCAGUAGAGUGAAAUUAAACUCAAACUAUUCGAUUAUUAUUAUGAUUAUUAUUAUUAUUAUUAUUUUGACUAAAAAGCUCAAGUUCUUUUGUUCAACGUACAUAGAAAUCCAUUCAGUGUCUCAUAUAAUCAAUCAGGAAUUAGGCCAGUACAUUAAGAGAAAAUCACCAAUUGUGUACUUCUGAAAAACAAAAUUCAUCCUUAACUGUUCUAGACAUACGAGCACCUCCACCAUAAUUGACAACAUCUUCCCAAUGAAUGUAGAGUUCCAUGAUAAUCCAACAUUCAUCUUUGGACAGGUAAAAUUAGAAACUUGGUGCCAUCGCUUGGAAUGUUAUAUUAUUACAUACAGCAUCCUUUAUGUUUCAUCUACAAGCAAAACCCUCUUUUGGUUUCCAAAAAAUUGAAAUUAUUGGAAUCUCCCUCACAUUUUCCUAAUGAAAGUUGUUGAAUUUAAAAAUAUAUAUACAUGUUCCAACAGAACACGUCAAAGCAAUAAACUGAAAACUAGAAUAAAACACUCUUGUUUAUAGAAAAGAUAAAUUCCCGAUGAAAAUACAUGAUGGCUGCGUCCACCUAACUAUGCAUAGCAUUCGAUUAUACAUGAGUAAAAAGUAAAACUGAACAACACCAAAAAUUCACAAAAGUUUUCCCCCCAACGCAAACGUUUGUACUGACAUAUUUACAUGUUCAUACUCAACUAAAAUCAUUAAAGCUCAGAGCACCAGUUGAAAUUAAGUUUCCCAACUCUCCACCAAUGUGGGCAACAAAGAAUACGUACUAUUUAAAACACCAAUUACUCGAACAUGUUCAAAAGGGGUUCCAUCCCCAAGAUUGUCACUGAUUAUAAGAAAAAUUUGUUAAAAUUGUUGUUUUUGCUAAAAUUAACAAUUAACUCUCUAUUAUUUAAAUGCUGCUUACAAGAUUUCAAUAGAUGGUUUCAAGAUUGAGGAAAAAUCCCCCAGCCCUCAGUGAUAUAACUUGAUGAAUUGUGUGAAUUAUGCGAGAUGAUCAUAAACAAGCAGCAGUAACCUGGAGACUCCUAUCACACAAGGUACGACAUGGGCAUUGGAAAUUGACAAUAUGCACGCAUGCAUGUAUAGAUAAACUACCCAAAAUGAUUACUCAAUAGCUCUAAAAUAUCAAAAAUUGGAAAAACCCAAAAAAGUGAGUAGAAACGUGCACCUUCGAGCAGGCGGAAUACCAACGGUGGAGCCAUAACCGUUAUACUUGGCGGAGCGUACGGCGUCACAGACGGCGUCCACGGCCAAAGGCGUCGUUCGGAAACACGGGAAGGAAGAAGGGUCACCGUGUCCUAGAGGAAUAACCGGCCGGGAGUCUUCCGGUUUAAGAUUAUCCAUCAACGUGUUCAAUACACCUCUAAUGGUGAUUGCAGAGGCCUUGGUCAGUUCAUCGUUGCAGCCAAAACGCCACCGUAUCACUCCGCCGUUCUCCAUUGAUUUUUUUUCCCUCAAGCUUUUGGAAUCUUUUAUGGAUUGAAGCGGUGAAAUUGGAGCAACCACCAGCGAAAGAAGACAAAGUAGAAUGAGUUAAUGCAGAGGGCCUUUGAUGGCAAUUUCAAUUAAACCACUCUCGACUUUAAUUCGUCUUAAUUACGUCUUCAAACUUUGAUUUACUUUCCAUAUUUGUCCCAUUUAUGUCAUUAAAAUUUUAAUUUACAUUCCAUAUUAAUCAUUCUAUUAUAGCACUAUGUGAAAGUGAAUUUUGAUGCUAACUAACAUGCCUUAUAUUUUUAAGUAAUUAUGUAACAAAAUAAAUUGUAUUUAAGAGUCGAUAGUAAUUACACAUUUACACUUAUAAUGAAUUAAUGAUAGGUCUGUGUGUAUUUACAUAGAGAUCUAGGUCAAAGAAUGAUCGAGACAUCAAUUUAGUAAAAAUAGUUAACAAAAUGGCUAACACUAUAAUAAAUUGAUGUUUGAAAAAUUUUGAGAGAAAUAAAUUAAGUAUUGAAUUACCUAAUUGAGAUUUGACUGAAAGUUCAAUGACCAAACAUAAAAUUCCUCAAGAUCCUACGCAAAUAUGUCACAUAAUCACGUGAUGAUUGCAAAAUACGAAAAUAGAUCAAGUUUAAAAAAAAAUGAGGUAAUCAUUCGCUGGACAUACUCGAAGUUAUAUUCAAUGUGUUCAUCUUUAGUUUUAAGAUUUUACGGUCACGACAUGAUUGGAUGGCAUAUUUAUUGGCUAAUGAAGGAUUGGAACUUUAUGAUGGCUAACACUGAAAAUAAAUAGAAGUUAGGUGUUGUGAUUCUGACAAAUUAAAAUCAGGUGAUCUAUUUGAAAUUUUCAGUGAAAGUUCAAUGACCAAGAUGAAGAAGAGUUGACAUGAAUGAACCUAUCGUGCCCUCCAAGAAAAACAAGAUCAGCUUUAUCAUGUCCUUAAAAUAGUGUUCUACAUGCCUUACACGUGCCACAAAAUUAAAUUAAAUAAUUGAUAUUUAGGACUAGUGGUCCAAAAUAAAAUUAAAAUUUUGAUUAUUAAAAUAUUCAACCAUCUUCGAUGCACCAUUCAUGGUCUUUCCCUUGUCCAGUCUUCUAGUACUAAAGAACAUCAAAAGUUAUAGCCCUAUUUGCUUUCAUUCUUUCCUUGUUAAAAUGAAAAAUAUGAUCGUUAUUCAUUACAUCAAAUCAAAAAAUUUAAAUUUUUAUCUCUCGCGUGGAGCCCAUAACGAUUAUAUUUUUCAUUUUCAUUCUUACAAAAAUAGGAAACAAACGCCCCUAUAAUCUAUCAAAAAUCAAAAUUUGUGAGUCUUUCAUAUAUAUAUGGAUAGCAAUUUGAACUAUCAAAAUAAAAAAUCGCGAUUAACCGAAUCGAAUGAGAAAAAAACAAACCGAUGGUACAAUGUAACGGAUAUGGUAUUUGAUUUUAGUGACCCGAUUCGGGGCGGGGCAGGUAUGGUAUUUACGUCGUCGCCCUACCUCGAACCGCUUACCUAUUAGAAAAAAAAUUGGAUAAUUGGACUUUCCAUUAUUCUUUCUAUUAUAAUUUGUCUAGCCCAAAAUUUAUGGCCCAUUACCUACCCAUUAAGUAACUUAACCCAGUUACCACUUACUCACUAAGUACUAACCCUACAACAAAGAAAAUUGGAAUCAAAUUCAACAAGACAUUAGCCGACAGCCGUCUUCACUCGAGUCUCUGCAGUGCAUCCCCAAAUUCUUUUUUCUUCACACCGUAUUCUUUCUUGCUCGCUAUCGUCAUCCCCAUUCUCAAAGAGGAGGGUAUUGUUCUUCAUCUUCUCGUUUGCUAAUUGCUAUUGCUGUAAUCUGUAUCCAUUUUUAUUUUUGUUGAGUUUGAGUAUUUAGUCUGCCUAUAAAUAUUAAGUUUUAUUGUUGGAUGAACUCGAUGAUGUAUACUUUGAGUUUGAGAAUAAUCAAUGAAAAUGCAAGGAUAUGAGCAACUUAUUAAGCUGUUAAAUUCACUCUGCACCAGAUUGCAGGAAAAAUCUUUGGAAAUUUUACAGAGAAUUUUCAAAAUUGUUGAAUUUAAACAAAAGUAUGGAAAAUUUGCUCAAAUGUCAUUAGUGGAUAUCAUUCAGAGAGGAACAAGUAAUGCAAGAUCCUUGGUUGCCAAAAUUCUUUCUCAGUUGAAUAUUCUUCAUGAACAGUCUUCAUUUUUUUUUUUAUUGUGAUAUUGAAAUAAGGGUACAUAUUUUAUGUAGAUAUUGAAUUGAGAUAUUGUUUACUAUAUUAGCUUAGUAUUAUGUUUUUAUUUUCACUCACUUUUUUUUCAUAAUUUUUUUUUAAAAUUUGACGGCCAGAUCUAUAAAAAAUAAUUUAUUUUCAUAGUUAUUAAUGAGCCGAGCCGAGUUUGUGACGCCUUGAACUUAAGUUUCGAGUGUCACGUACUAAACAUAAUAGCUUAUGCCUUUGGUACAUGUAAAUACUCUUAAAUAGAAUUAUUACAUGUUAGAAACUUAUUUUCGACUUGGUAAAAUGUCUCUCAUAACUUUUAAUGGCCCGCAGAAGCGCAUGUCGACAAGAAAUUAUAUUUUACAUAUACGGACUCUGCACUGCCACGGUUAGUUGGGGCAGCAAGUUCGACUAUUUUUAUAAAAUUCAUCCCAACUCCGUUUUCUAUGAAAUUUAUGACAUUAGAAAGAUAUUUUCAAGUAUUUUUCUAGGUUAAAAUAUAAAAGUUUCCAAGAUCAUAUAAUAUGGGCGUUUUACUGAAAACAGUGAGGUAUUGCACAGAAAUUUCAGAUUUGACCCUUCAACGUUUAAAAAUUCAUAUCUCAGGCUACAGAUAUCCAAAUUGAGUUAUUCUUGUGCCCAUAUUUAGACAACUCAAUGAGGAACGCAGUAAUAUUUUCAUAGUUUCAAAUGGACGUUUAUGGAGUAAAAAAUAAUGUGUUGAAGUUAACCCAAAAACUGUCCCGUUUCUGCCUUUUGUCACUUGCAAGGAGAAGUUUUUUAAAAAAGGUCUAUUAACACAACAUAGAAGAUAUAAUUGCUUAAUUUACUUCCGGUACCAUAUUAAAUCAUGUCUCAUACAUGUUUUUAUACAAUACCAUACGAAAACAUAUGGAAAGCAGUCGGACAAAACAUGGAAAAACAAAACUUCGAUGCAAAACAACAUUGUCCUUAACCCAUCAUCGAUUAUGCCGACUGACUUCCACCAACUCCGCAAUUAUGAAUCUGAGAAUUUAGUAUAGAACACUAUGAGUAUAAAGAAUACUCAGUAAGAUACCAUGCUUGGAUUUUAUCAUGUUAAUACUACACAAAAGAAUGCAAUCAAACACAUACUUGCACAUUCCGGCUUGUCGGUGCCCUUCGGACUUGUCCUANNNNNNNNNNNNNNNNNNNNNNNNNNNNNNNNNNNNNNNNNNNNNNNNNNNNNNNNNNNNNNNNNNNNNNNNNNNNNACAUUCAUAUUAUGGUUUUUCAUGCAUAGCUUAAGCAUAAAUAUUACCAUGAAAUCAUAUCACUUAAGCAUAGAAAGUAUCUUACAAUAAAACUUGAAGAAAUCUUGGUUGAAAACGAAUUGAGAAAUGCUAGGUUGGUCCUCUUCUUCCCUCAUGUUUUCUGCCCUCUUAUAAACAAGUGUUAAGUUGUUUUUCAUGUAAGGGAAAUAAAGGGCAGCAACACAUCUAUUUAUAGGUGAAAAAAAUGAUAAAUUUUGGGUGACUCUUCAACCAAUUCUACACGUGGGCAGCAUGAAAGAAAACCUUAACUUCAAUUAAACACCUAUGCAUGCCUUUAGCCACCACAUGCUUAAGUUAAAACACCUCAUGCUUAAAUUGUUUCAUCAAUUUUCAGCCAAGUUGGAGAAACAAUGUUUAACUUUAGUAAUUAGGUGUAAAAUGGACAUUUAUCCCAAACCCCUAAUUAACAAAUUAUUUGGAAAAUUUUUUAAUAAAUCAACCAAUGCAAAAUUUGGCAACCAUAAAUAAUUUUUUGGUCAUGCUAAAUUUUGAAAAGUUAAAUUGCUAUUCUAAAAAUUAAAUGAGCACAAAAUUCGGAUUAUUACAUCCUUCCUCCCUUAUAAAAAUUUCGUCCUCGAAAUUACCUUGAACUUAGUUGAAAAGUUCUGGAUACUUAAUCUUGAUUUCCUCUUCUCUUUCCCAAGUUGACUCUUUGACAUUAUGGUUUCUCCACUGAACUCUCAUUAACGGAAUUUCCUUUGUCCUCAGUUGUUGGAUUCCGCGAUCCAAUAUUGCUACUGGUUUUUCCUCAUAAGUCAUGUUUUGUUUGAUAUCCAAUGGUUGAUAACUAACCACGUGACUUUGAUCUGACACAUAUUGUCGAAGCAUUGACACGUGGAACACAUCAUAAAUUGCUGACAAAUCUGGUGGUAGAGCGAUUCGAUAGGCUGCAUUUCCAACUUUCUGCAAAAUUUCAAAAGGACCUACGAAUCUUGGUCGAAGUUUUCCUUUCUUUCCAAAGCGAAGAGCUCCCUUCAUCGGUGCCACUUUUAAGAAAACUUUAUCACCAACAUUAAAUGCCAAAUCUUUUCUCCUUUUAUCGGCAUAACUUUUUUGUCGGUUCUGGGCUGCCUUGAUUCUAGCUCUUAUUUUAUCAACCGCUCGACUAGUUUCCUCAAUUAUUUCGAGUCCUAAAACUCUUCGUUCACCUACUUCAUCCCAAUAGAGGGGAGCUCUACAUCUUCUGCCGAAUCGUUAGAGCCGCUAUCCUAAGUGUUGGUCGAAUCGUUAGAGCCGCUAUCCUGGUGAUAGUUUGGGUUGGUGGAACAAUUACUUCUAGAUGUAAGUUUUCGAAAUCCUUUAACAAUUGGUCCUGCAUAGUGAUUAGUACUGCUAAUUGUCCAAUCGCCUUUCUGCUAAGAGCAUCUGCUACUACAUUAGCUUUACCAGGGUGGUAAAGGAUAGUGCAAUCAUAAUCAUUUACUAGCUCUAGCCAUCUCCUCUGCCUCAUAUUUAAUUCUUUUUAAGUGAAAAAGUACUUCAAACUCUUAUGAUCAGUAUAAAUGUCACACUUAUUUCCAUAUAAGUAAUGACGCCAUAUCUUGAGGGCAUGAACUACCGCAGUCAAUUCUAGAUCAUGGAUUGGGUAGUUUUGCUCAUAUUGUUUCAAUUGUCUAGAAGCGUAAGCUAUCACCUUUCCUUUCUGCAUCAGAACACAUCCUAUGCCCUGUUUCGAAGCAUCAUUGUAUAUAACGAAUCCUUCUGAUCCGUCAGGUAUUGUUAACACUGAAGUUGUGACUAAUCUUCGUUUCAGCUCUUGGAAGCUCUGUUCACAUUUCUCUGUCCAUUGAAAUUUUUUCCCUUUUUGAGUCAACUGGGUCAAUGGUCCUGCUAUUUUAGAAAAUCCCUCGAUAAAUCUUCUAUAGUAACCAGCCAAUCCCAAGAAACUACAUGUUUCUCUAACAUUGGUUGGUCUUACCCAAUUAUUUACUGCUUCCAUUUUAGUUGAGUCUACUUCAAUUUCUCGUGCUGUGAUUACGUGCCCCAAAAAACCUAUUUUAUCCAACCAGAAUUCACAUUUCUUGAAUUUGGCAUAAAGCUUCUCUUUUCUUAGAGUUUCCAAGACAAUCGUGAGAUAUUUCUCGUGUUCCUCAUUACUCUUCGAAUAGAUUAAGAUGUCAUCAAUGAAAACUAUAACAAAUUGGUCUAAGUAUUCACGGAAUACUCUAUUCAUUAGAUCCAUAAAUACUGCCGGGGCAUUAGUUAGUCCAAAAUGCAUUACCAAAAAUUCAUAAUGACCAUAACGCGUCCUAAAAGCCGUCUUAGGGAUAUCAUCUGACUUAAUUUUCAAUUGGUGAUAUCCUGAUCUUAGAUCGAUCUUUGAAAAUAUUGUAGCCCCCUUAAGCGGGUCAAACAAAUCUUCUAUUCUUGGAAGUGAAUAUUUGUUUUUAAUAGUGAGGCGAUUCAAUUCUCGAUAGUCAAUGCACAGCCUCAUAGUUCCAUCUUUCUUUUUCACAAAUAGUACAGGUGCACCCCAAGGUGAUACACUUGGUCUAAUGAAACCCUUAUCAAGAAGCUCCUUCAACUGUACCUUCAACUCUUGCAGUUCCAACGGUGCCAUACGAUAUGGAGCCUUUGAAAUAGGUGUUGCUCCCGGUACUAAAUCGAUGGUAAACUCUACUUACCUGUCUGGUGGUACACCUAGAAGGUCUUCUGGAAAAACAUCUUUAUAGUGCCGAACUAUUUGAACAUCCUCAAUUGACAACUUAUCUUGGUUAAUAUUGGUUAUCGAUACUAGAAAUCUUUGACCUAAUUCCUUUCUUAGCGUCCUUUCAACCUGAGUUGUUGACACUAUACAAGACGAGGUAUUUGCCUUAGUUCCCACAAAACGAAACUCUUCCUCNCCCAGUCUUCGAAAAACCACCAUUCUCUCGGUACAAUGAAUAGUUGCAUAGUUUUUAGACAACCAGUCCAUACCAAGGAUAACAUUAAAGUCUUUUAUCGUUAAUGGAAUUAGAUCUACCGCUAUAUCUCUACCAUCAAUUCCCAUCUUAAGAUCUCUAGCUAUUUGGUUAGCAACAAGUAUCUUUCCAGAUGGAAGAGAUAUUUCUAAGGUAUACGUAAGGAAUUCACAUUCCACUUUAGACUUUGUAACAAACGAAGAAGAAAUGAACGAAUGUGUAGCUCCAGAAUCUAUAAGUACAAAUGCAGGCAUAUUGGAAACAGAGAUGAUACCUGCGAGUACAUUAGGGUCUCGUUCUGCUUCUUGCCUGGAUAAAGAGAAAACUCUUGCUCUUCCUUUCUUGUCAUCUCUAGCCUUCUGUGUCUGAUUUUGGGGGCAUUCUUUAGCGAAAUGUCCUGAUUUCCCACACUUGAAACAAACAUUUUUUCCCAAUAGACAUUCUCCUUUGUGAGGUUUAUCGCACUUAGGACAACGCUUAUCACCACCCACUCCUACUAUCUCCGUCUUUCCUUUCUUUGGUGCAUUAUUCCCUUUUCCUUUACCAUUAUUCUGUCUAUCAAAGUUCCACUUCCUCUUACUUGAGAAAUUUUGAACUUGGUAAGAAUUUCCAACGUUUUGAGUUCUUUGAUAAGAAAUAGUCUGGGCUCACUUCAGGACUUCUCGAUAAGUACUCAACUCAAGAACUGACACUAUGUCACGAAUAUAAGGUUGAAGCCCACGUUCAAAUCUUCUAGCCCGCUUUUCCUCCGUAUCCACUAGAUGUGGAGCAAACCUUGAUAAUUCCUCAAAUUUGCGUUCAUAUUCUACGAGGGUCAUGGUUCCCUGUUGGAGUCUGAGGAACUCCAUCUCCAUUUAAUCUUUCACAGCUGCAAAGAAGAAUUUUUCUUCUACGAGUUCCUUAAACCUCACCCAAGUUAUAGCCUGUUCUUCAGCAGGUCUUAAUGACCUGGUAGUCAUGUCCCACCAAUGGCUAGCCCCCUUCUUCAACAUAAACACUGAAAAUGUUACCCUUUCAGCAUCUUCGUAUCUUAUAAAUUUAAAGAUACGUUCUAGUUCUCGUAACCAAUCCUCAACUGCUAAGAGAUCCAUACUCCCUUCGAACAAUGGAGGGUUCAUUUUACAAAACUGCUCUAUAAUUGCAGUUCGAUCCCUCGAGUUAGGUACUAUUUGAGGUUGAAUAGCUGGUUGGUUGGGCUCCUGAUGAUCAAUUGGUACUUGUUGAUCUAGUGUUCGUUGUCCAGUCAAAGGUGGUGCUUGUUGUUGCUGUCCUAAUUCCCGUAUUACAGCAAGCAGUUCUCGUGCAAAGUUUACUGCAGUAACCUCGCCACCACUAGAACUAGCAUUAGCAUUGCCACCGCCUAAGUUCAUAUUGGAAUUUGGUGCACUGUCAUGGUUGCGCUUUAGAGGCAUUUCCUUUGAAUGAAAAAUAUUCAUCCAGUCAGAAUUACUUCAGAACGUAAUACUAACUUUAGAAAAAAAAUCCAAAGGCCAAGGCAACUUUCCUUCAUAUAUAUACAUUAUUAUUUUUCACAAACAAAAGUCAUAUUGAGGUACGGUACAUACAUUCAAAAGUAGAUGUACGUAUUACAUUAUAUUCUAUUCCAAAAACAAAGAUAGCUAGNNNNNNNNNNNNNNNNNNNNNNNNNNNNNNNNNNNNNNNNNNNNNNNNNNNNNNNNNNNNNNNNNNNNNNNNNNNNNNNNNNNNNNNNNNNNNNNNNNNNNNNNNNNNNNNNNNNNNNNNNNNNNNNNNNNNNNNNNNNNNNNNNNNNNNNNNNNNNNNNNNUGACCAUAGCACAAUCUCAUUUAUGACUGAGACCCAAGGUUCUAGAACAGUUUCAUAUAACCUCCGUAUCUUCACCUUAUCCCUUAAGCUAUGGUGUAUCUCCCAUAACAUCUCAAUAAUACAGUCUAGCAGAUCAAGAUGUUGUUCAAGGCUAUGGAGCGGAUGCAUACAAUAAUUAUAGUAAAAUGCCAAUAAUAUGUCCCGCUUCUUCGCAAAACCAUAAACUUCUGUCCUUGUGGGGGUUCUUACCGUUCGUGCUAUAACUAGGACAAAAAUUGAUUAUGUUACUCUACAGGGCUCUAAUAAAUAUUUAGAUAUAAGUGUUUAUGACUUCAUAAUCUCAACCAUGACUUGAUUCAAAAUAUUCCUAUAUCCAGCCAUAGAUAUAGCAGUUCAUUGCAUAAGAAAACUCAUAAACUUAAAAAAAAAGGUUUUUACCUUGAUCGUCGAUUGAAAGUCAGUUGCUAGCUUGCUCGAUAAUGAAGGACAAGAACUUUCUUAAAAAAAAGUCUACAAAAAAAUAUAACUGCUCUGAUACCACGCUGUGACGCCUCGAACUUAAGUUUCGAGCGUCACAUAUUAAACAUAAUAGAUUCUGCCUUUGGUACAUGUAAAUAUUCUUAAAUAGAAGUAUUACAUGUUAGAAACUUAUUUUCAACUUGGUAAAAUGUCUCUCAUAAAUUUUUAAUGGCCCGCAGAAGCGCAUGUCGACAAGAAAUUAUACUUUACAUAUACGGAUUCUGCACUGCCACGGUUAGUUGGGGCAGCAAGUUCUACUAUUUUUAUAAAAUUCAUCCCAACUCCGUUUUCUAUGAAAUUUAUGACAUUAGAAAGAUAUUUUCAAGUAUUUUUCUAGGUUAAAAUAUAAAAGUUUCCAAGAUCAUAUAAUAUGGGCGUUUUACUGAAAACAGUGAGGUAUUGUACAAAAAUUCUAGAUUUGACCCUUCAACGUUUAAAAAUUCAUAUCUCAGGCUACAGUUAUCCAAAUUGAGUUAUUCUUGUGCCCAUAUUUAGAAAACUCAAUGAGGAACGCAGUAGUAUUUUUAGAGUCUCAAAUGGACAUUUAUAGAGUAAAAAAUAAUGUGUUGAAGUUGAUCCAAAAACUGUCCCGUUUCUGCCUUUUGUCACGUGCAAGGAGAAGUUUUUUAAAAAAUGUCUAUUAACACAACAUAGAAGAUAUAAUUGCUUAAUUUACUUCCAGUACCAUAUUAAAUCAUGUCUCAUACAUGUUUUUAUACAAUACCAUACGAAAACAUAUGGAAAGCAGUCGGACAAAACAUGCAAAAACAAAACUUCGAUGCAAAACAACCUUGUCCUUAACCCAUCAUCGAUUAUGCCGACUGACUUCCACCACCUCCGCAAUUAUGAAUCUGAGAAUUUAGUAUAGAACACUAUGAGUAUAAAGAAUACUCAGUAAGAUAUCAUGCUUGAAUUUUAUCAUGUUAAUACUACACAAAAGAAUGCAAUCAAACACAUACUUGCACAUUCCGGCUUGCUGAUGCCCUUCGAACUUGUCCUAAGGCAUAAAUAGAUAUCUUAACUUUGUGGACUUGUCCACCACAUUCAUAUUAUGGUUUUUCAUGCAUAGCUUAAACAUAAAUAUUACCAUGAAAUCAUACCACUUAAGUAUAGAAAGUAUCUUACAAUAAAACUUGAAGAAAUCUUGGUUGAAAACGAAUUGAGAAAUGCUGGGUUGGUCCUCUUCUUCCCUCAUGUUUUCUGCCCUCUUAUAAACAAGUGUUAAGUUGUUUUUCAUGUAAGGGAAAUAAAGGGCAGCAACACAUCUAUUUAUAGGUGAAAAAAUGAUAAAUUUUGGGUGACUCUUCAACCAAUUCUACACUUGGGCAGUAUGCAAGAAAACCUUUACUUCAAUUAAACACCUAUGCAUGCCUUUAGCCACCACAUGCUUAAGUUAAAACAUCUCAUGCAUGCCUUAGCCACCACAUGCUUAAGUUAAAACAUUAAAACACCUCAUGCAUGCCUUAGCCACCACAUGCUUAAGUUAAAACAUUAAAACACCUCAUGCAUGCCUUAGCCACCACAUGCUUAAGUUAAAACAUCUCAAGCUUAAAUUGUUUCAUCAAUUUUCGGCAAAGUUGGAGAAACAAUGUUUAACUUUAGUAAUUAGGUGUAAAAUGGACAUUUAUCCCAAACCCCUAAUUAACAAAUUAUUUGGAAAAACUUUUAAUAAAUCAACCAAUGCAAAAUUUGGCAACUAUAAAUAAUUUUUUGGUCAUGCUAAAUUUUGAAAAGUUAAAUUGCUAUUCUAAAAAUUAAAUGAGCACAAAAUUCGGAUUAUUACAGAGUUGAUUUACGUGGUUAUGGUGCGGUUAUGGUAUGAUAAAAAAAAUUGGUGAUUCGAUGAUGAUUUUGACCGAACUGAUCCUGAACCGAAUCGUUGCCAACCCUAUUCAUAUACGUGGUUCUUGAAACUUCCCAAGGAAAAAUCAAGAAUGGCUUCUCCAUGCUUGUCCAUCAUGUAUAAUAAAACAAAAAUUAGAAUCUUUAUAAAGAAAAUUUACUGCGCUACUAUCUUCUAAGCAUCGAUGCUUGACGUGGCAUGCUAGCCUGGCAUAAGUUAGCAUUGAUGAUUAGCAGAUCAAUUUCGAAGAAACAAAUUAUGGGCUUGUUUUAUAGUGAUUAUGAGAAUUUAUUUUUUAACGAUUAGAGAGAAAAGCAGGUUCCACCUGGAGAGAAGAAGUAAAAAAUGACGGUUGACUUAAGAAAGUAACGAUUAAAACCUUGAUUUUUUGGGGUAACAUGCAUUAUAAUUCAGAAAAUAUGGCAAAAUCUAAUUCAAACAAACUGAUAACCCGCCACUAAAAUCAAUUCCUAAUUUUAUGCGGAUUUCAAGAAAAAUUGAAGUCGUCUUUCCGUUUUAGAUAGAGCAGAGUUUAACUAUUUUAUUUUUACCUAAUAACAGCUUGUGCUGCUUAGUCAGGCAGGAGAUGAGGAGCUUGUUAAAAUUUUCAGGCUGUGUUAAUUAUGUGAAAUGUACAGAAAAUUCUGAAUGCUCUGGGAAGAUGGUAUCAUGGUGACUGUAGUUAUAACAUAUCUUUGGAGCCAUGGCAGUUUCUUUGGCAUGGCUGCAAAUUUGUUAUUUCUGUUUUUGUUUUGCUGAGAAUGAAUAGAGAAAAAUAGGUUUUAUUAGAGGGUACAUAAUUUAGGGAAAAAUAUAAUAAUUCAAGAAUUGAGUAGUAAGAUUGCAAAGACAAAAGGGAAGAAACUAGGCAAGUAAAAUUUACUACCUAGCUUGGUGAAGAAGUAUGCAUGCACGAGAUAAUCAUAUGAAUGAAUCCCACAAUAGAAGGCAUGUCAAUAAACGUUAAUAUUAUCACUAAAUGACCAAAUAGAAUAUAAUCCAAAAUAAAGAAUCAAAUUACUUGUACAAAAAUGUUUUGACAGAUUUUUUGAUAGAUGAUGAGAUGACAUGCGCCUCAAUCCUUGAUUUGAAAUUUAUGAAGUUCAAAUUAAGACAGCAUCUGUCAAAGAAACUGUCAAAAAAAAAAAAAAUUUGCAAAUAGCAUGGUUGCAAAAUAAAAGUGGUGAGACGACACAUGAUACAGGCUUUUUCUUUAUAUCUUCAUAUACUGGGAAUCCCUCAACCUCCCAGGAGAGUAUAGUGCAAAUUACACUCUUAAAAUAAUUUUAGUAUGCUUCAAAAGUAUAUAAAAAUGUUGAGUUUUUUUUUUUUUCUAAAAUAUCUUUUUUUUUAUUACGUGAUUACUCUGUAUAUAUAAGUUGUAGAUGGUAUCGCAUGAUUUAUUUAUUUAUUUUUUUAAACCUAUUUUCAAAUCAAACCAUUUAAAAGGCUCACAAUUAGGCCAAGUUUGGGAUUACAAAAAAAGAUGGGCAAAUGUGACCUGUAAGGUUGGCAAAAUGCCCGUGCUCUUGCACAACUGAGAAAUCAAGGCAAAAGCGGGAAAUGCGAUCUAUAUUUUGAAUCUUAUUUUUUAUUUUAUUAAUAUAAUUUUAAACUUAAUUCACAUUAAAUAUAAAUAAAUAAAAGGAACGAAAAUAAAAUAUUUCAACCACUUUCUCACCCGUCCCCCGAAAAUCUCCAACUACGUGAAGGAUGAAAAGGGCCUUGCCUUGGUUCCAUGAUGCCAUCCCUAAAGAAAUUGGUCCAUAGCCACCAUGAUAAGGGAUAAUUCUUGUAACGACCCGAACCUCUCGCCCAAAUCGUUAGCUUACGUACUGUCCGUUUUGGGUGGGUCUUGCGCCCACUUACCCUUCACGGCUUUUUGUCGCGUCCUCCAGGAUUCGAACUCAUAACAUUUCCCUUAAGUAAGACUUAAGUCGAAUCCUGGUUACGUAAGCUAACGACUUGGGCGAGAGGUCCGGGUCAUUAAAAAAAACGCGUGUUUCUUUUUUGUAAUGACCUGGACUAUAACAUUUCCUUUAAAUGAGAUUUAAAUUGAAUCUUGAUACCAAUUGGGCACUUGAGCUAAAGGUCCGAGUCGUUAGAAAAAAAAAACACUCCCAAACCGUUAGUUUACGUACUAUCCGCUUUGGAUGGGCCUUGCGACAUAAAGCCGUGAGGGAUAAGUGGGCGCAAGACCCACCCAAAGCGGACAUACGUAAGCUAACGACUUGAGCGAGAGGUCUAAGUUGUUACAAUUCUCACAUCGAAUAAAGACGAUAACAUAGACCAAUUCAUAACUCUUUUUAAUAAGGUUUGAUAUUUUAAAAUGAAACCUCAAAUCUUUAUAUUGUAUUAGAGUACACUAAACUCAAAAGAGGACUAAGACUCAAAAAAAUAGGCACGUAGAUUUCAAGAUUGAUUUGCUCAAACGAGCCACUAUCUUGUGAGGGCAUCUUAAGGGAUAAUUCUCAUAUCAAAUAAAUAUGAUAACAUAAAGCAAUUUACUUGAGAAAUUGAAGGAAUGCAUUUGUUGGGUCCAAAGGGUAUAAAGAGUGAAUAGAUAGAGUUAUUCUUUGACCUAACGAAAGAACUGAAAAGACCAUACAUGGUGUUUGAUUAAUAAAACGCUUUCUCUGUAUUAUGAUAUAUCUUAUUGGUUGGUGCAGGCAAUAAGAUCAUUAGGGAAAUGAGGGUUUUCCAUUUCUCGUUGCUUUAUCGUAAAAAAAGAUCCUCUUCAAAACUCAAAACGGAGGGUUAGAUAAUCAAGAGAGCACCAUUGUGUUCCACAAGGAUAAUGCAAUACCAACUGUGAAAGCUCUAACAUUCGAUAGAUCUGGCACCUUUAUGGUCGAUGUUCAAUGAGAUCUGUAUAGUGUCACACUGGUCAAGUCCUCAACAAUCUUAAAGAAGGUUCCAGGUUCGAAUCGCUUCCUUUGCAUCACUUUUGGUAAAAAUUGUUGAAUUAGAAAAUUUGCAAUACAAAUUGCUUUGGAAGUGUUUCGGACCCAUGAGCUCUAAUUUGAUUACGAUAGCUCCAACCAACUCAGCUAUGUAGAUGUUCAUACAUAAAAUGAAUUAUCAUUUAUGCCCCUAUUUGGUUAUCAUUUUUUUCUCAUUAAAAUAAAAAAUAUGAUCGUUAUUCAUCAUAUCAAGUCACCAAAUUUGAAUUUCUAUCUCUUGUGUGAGGCCCCGUAACGACUAUAUUUUUCAUUCUCAUUCUUCCAAAAAUGAGAAACAAACGGGGGUUAUAUAAGAUAAUUAAUUUAGCUGUUGUACAACAAAAAAAAUUUGUUCUCGGUGGAUCUAGCUAGGGCGGCCACCCUAGCCAGCCAAUACUUGCAUAUGCCACUGGACCAAGAAAGAUCAGCACUUAUAUGGUAAUCUAUUCGUUCGUUUGAAAAUCUUUUUAAAAUAAAUUCAACAUUUUCACUUUAGAACCCUAGAAAUUAUUUAAUCAAUGCACUGGCCUAAAAUUUGAUCUUUGUUCUAAUAGUUGUAUUAAUACACUAAGAGACGUCAAAUUUAUUAUUAUUUUAUAUAUUAAUAUGUACCGAUACUAUGAUUUGAGAUUUUCAAAUGAUGUUCAUUGAUCUUUGACAUAUGAUUGUAUGCUGUAUAAAGAAAAGUCCAUCCUGGUGUGGCCAUAAAACAUUGAGUGCAGGAUGUCAUUUAAGGAAAUCCAACACAUUUAACACACUGGCAUUACCUUUAAAAUAACCUAAUUCGUGCAUUGCAAGGGCAAAUGACUAGUAUAUUAAUAUAUCACAUUAAGAGAGAAUCAUUUUUUUGGACGAUUUUAGGGUCUAUUGGGGAGGGAUUUUUUAUCCCAAAAAAUUAAUUUUUUGAACGUUAUUUUACUAUUCCAACCGUAAUUUUUGACUUCUUCUUUCACAUGUGGACUUCACUUUUCUUCUAACGGUCAAAAAAUCAAUUCUCAAAAUCCCUCCCAAACGAGACCUUAAUCUUCAUACAAUUCAAUUAUUUCAAUAAUACCUUAUUUUUCGUUUUUUGAUAUGUAAUAAAUACUACAUAAUUAUUUUCAUUUAUGAAAUUUGUGUUAUUGAUUCUCAAUUAAUUAACAUUCACAUUAAUCUAGAUUAAAUGGAUUUUCACUUGAUGAAUCUUGAAUUACAUAAAUAUAGAGUCAUUAUAGAUGAAUUUAUUCAUAUUCAUGUAUCUAAAAAUUUUCAUAGAUGUUUUUAAUUUAUGUAUUAAUAAGUAAUUUUUAUGUAUCAAAUGUAAUAUAAAAAGAUUGCUUAUUUAUAGUAAUUUAGUUAUUAUAAAAAAUUUGAAUCAUAGAAAUUAAGUUUUAAGAGUACGAUUUUCUUCUCUUAAAUUUCUAUGCUAAAAUUUAUUUUUUUUAAUUUGUUCGAGACUUAUCAAAUCCUCCAACAAAUUAGUACCAAAUUUUAAUAUUACAUCACUUAAAAAGUAUUUUAAAAUAACAUGCAAUGUACAUUCAACUUUGAUUAAUGUGAGAAACAUUAAAGAAAGAAGUGAUGUUCGUUUAAAAUUUUACGAUAACCGUGAACAAGGAACGAAAAUAAUUUUCUUUUUGGAUCAACCUUUAUUUCUCUACCGAACGCACUCUAUUAGAAUCUUAACGGUUCGCAAAAGAUAAGGAAAAGAAAGUGACGCACGACACUGGUUUGUUAGGCAGACGCGUAGAUUUGGAGCCAUUAACGUUUAAUAAAUUGUCGGAUAAAGCGAGGGAGAGACAAAUGCGAUACCUCUUUUUAUUACAAUAAUAAUAGUAUUGUCAGUAAUACUACUAAACUAAAUAGUCGGCGGCCGGCUGGCUGGUUCUAUGUCUGUGCUGUGCCGUAUACGUAUGUUUGAACAACUCCUACCCUACUUAUAGUUUACGUUAAAAACUAGGAUUCUAUAUUAAUUUGUACCAAGUUUAAUUAAUGUCUAACAUCACGCUAAGGUAUUUAAAGUUAUUGAGCCGAGCAUAUUAUUGUUAAAAAUUAAUAUGUCCUCGUGUGAUGCAUUAAAAUUGCAUCCGAUUUUCAAUGAAGGUAACUACUUGGUAAUGAAAAGACCAUGCCCUCGUUUGGCCAAUUGAUUUUCAUUCCAUUACAUUUCAUUUUUCUCUCUCCUCUUUUCAACCACACAAUCUUCCAUAAAAUAAUAUUACACGUUAAUCGAAAUUUUUUCUUUCUUAUUCAAACACUCAUUUUUCGAAAAAAUACCAUUUUACCCAUUUUCAUUUUCACAAAAUGGAGGCCAUAUAAAAUUAGAAUCACACGAGAUUUUCAUGUGACUUACAAAACCAUCCACUACUAAACAUUUAUCUUUAAGUUUUGAAAUUUCAUUAUUGAAUUUAGAGAAAACUUCUAUUACAAGCGUUCAGAGUAAUUAUAUAAUAGAUUUUAUAACUUGCACUAUCUAUCUUCAUUAAGCGCUUAUUUGGUAGAAAUUUUGUUAAUUAAUUUUUUUAUAGUUAGAAAUAAAUUGGGUCCUACCUGUAAGAGAAGAAUUCAAAAAUGACGAUUAAAAUAGUGAAAUAAUGGUCAAAAAAUUAAUUUUAAUUGGAUUAAAAAUAUUACCAAACAUGAUCCAAGUAAAAUAACUAGAUUUAUGGAUUUAACAACCUCAUUCUUGAAAAUAUAAAUGAUACUAAACUAAGUUAUUACAAAGAUUGAAAAAUCUAGCCCAAUUUUCUCUAAAACAUUUUAAUGAAGUAUCGUAUCCAUUAUAGAAGGUCAAUUUGGCCUUAAUCAUGUACAAUUAAUUAAUAGACCCUUUUGGUGAGGAUUGCAAUUUUUUUUUAAUAAAAAUUGGAAGAAUAUACUGUUAAAAUAAAUUGUACAGCUCAUGAAAUAUACUGUUAAAAUAAAUUGUUGAUUUAAGUCAAAUUAAAUUUUUAAUUAUAAUUCCUCACCAAACAGAGGCAGUGUGAAACCGAACCCAUAAAGGUCACACGGUGCAGUGUGCGAGGAAUAUGGGGCGAAAUAACACAGUUGCCGGCGCAUCGACGCCCUAAACGCGCCACGUGCCCCUAUUUCAGGCCCACAACCCACGAUUCUCAAUACACUACGCGCAGCCACGCAAUUUAUCUCUCUUCACUUGGGCGGCGCCCCUAGUCAAACCCCCCUCGUUGAAUCCACUUUCUCUCUCCUCUAUCCUCUCUCCUAUAUAUCCACUUCCAUUUUCUCUCAAUCUGUAACCCAUUUUCACCACUAAAAAUUUUCUCUUCAGUUUCACAGCAAUUUGAGUGAGAUUUUAAGAAUUCUUCAUGGCGGCGAAGGAGAAGACAAAUAAGGCUGUUAAUGGAGUUAAGGAUAAGGCUAAUAAGGCUUUUAAUGGCGUUAAGGAGGUGCACUACAGGGGCGUGAGGAAGAGGCCUUGGGGCCGUUACGCGGCGGAGAUUCGAGAUCCCGGGAAGAAGAGCCGUGUAUGGUUGGGAACGUUCGACACGGCGGAGGAGGCGGCUCGUGCAUACGACGCCGCCGCUCGUGAGUUCCGUGGGUCUAAAGCUAAAACUAACUUCCCUUUACCUUCGGAUGUCCACAGCCCUAGCCAGAGCAGCACCGUGGAGUCAUCAAGCGUCAUAGCAAUCAAUACUCAACCGCCGGUUGAGCUUGACCUCACGCGCCUCCUUGGAGUAAAUUCCACCGCUACUGCUGUGAAUGGGUAUCAGUUUUUUCAUUACCAGCCAGCCAUGGCGGUUUCGCCCACUGGACGUCCGGUUCUGUACUUCGAUCCUCCGCCAGAAUACCGGCUGAAUACGGCGGCGGUUCACUUUCCCAAGAGCGGCGACGGCGGCGCUCAGAGUGAUUCUGAUUCUUCUUCUGUUGUUGAUGAGAAUCAGAUAUAUACAAAGAGAGUUUUGGAUUUUGAUCUUAAUCUACCACCUGCCAUGGAUGAAGCUUGAAUCUUCACAGUGAAAGAGACUGACUUUUGAUUGUAAAUACAUAAAAAUAUUAUUGUGUUUUUAAUUAUCAGAGACUUCUAAUUUCUCUGAUUGUUUAUCACAAUUGUAAUCGGCAAUUAGGGCUUCUGAUUCAAUGCAAUAUUUAAAUUAACUUGCUUUUGGUUAUAUUCUGGAGUUAUAGUUUUGUCCGUUUACUUAUGUGUUUAAAAGUGAAGAAAAUUAAUAUAAUUAAAAAGAUCAUGAAUCAAUAAUCAUACUUCUUAAUUUUAGCUUGCCAAUUGCCAUUCUCAUAAGAGUCAAAGUCUCCGUAUAUGAAACAUAAAAUAAAUUAUUACAAAAAAUAAUAAUAAAUAAAUGCAGUAAUGGACCAGUAGAGAUAUAUUGUUCUUGUCCGGCUAUUUCCUCAUUUUUCACCUACAAAAUUUUGACGAUAUAACAUCUAGGUUGAAAAUAUUAAAUUUCGUGCGUUUGAUAUGAAUUUACAUAUUUCACUCAACUUUUCUAGGAGGAUACUUUCAGGAUUAGAAUUCAAAACAAAGAAAUCAGCUAGUCGAGAGCCCUCUUCAAAUUUAAUCAACUUAAAAUUCUUGAUUCAAUAAACUACAUAAAAGAAUAUAGAAACAUCAUAUCAAUAUGGCCUAAAAUAACCUAAAGUACCAUUCUCAUUUUACAUUACUUUUGAAAUAAAAUAUUUUCAUUUACAAUUAAAAGAUUAUGUGUCAUUGUUAGAAUUAGGUGAGACUAUGGUUAAAUUAUAUAAUUAGCCCCUGUUUGAUGGUAUUAUUUAAGUCUAAAUAAUAUUUUGAACAGUAAUUUUUAGAAAAAUAUGUGAUUUAAUUUACGUAUAAAAUAUUUUAUUUUGUAAAUAUGUGAUUAAAAAUAAAUAUGUAAAAAAAAUUCAAAUAAUAAUCGUCAAACGGGACUAAACCUCGAUUUAGAUCGAAUAAUAGAAGAGAAAAAUAAAAAUUUAAUUAGGCAAUGAAAGCAUUAUUGUGGUCAAAGAGUAAAAGCAAAGAAAAUCAAGUGUACUCAAUGUCACCGACAGCAUCCUAAACAUGGGUCCCAUCGUUAAAAAAACCGUGUUUUUUUGGUACAUGUUGUGACUACGGUGGAGGGCACGUGUUACUACUUUAUUAGUUAAUACUUUGCCGUCCAUUGAAUCCACCAAAUAUAUUUACUAUUUUUCUAAUGUAUAUCUUAAAGCGCGUAGGAGAUGGUGCGGCGACACCGCGGUGGGCCCACGGUGGAGACUUGGGGUGCCACCGGCAGCCUCUUUUGGUGGGGCCAUCUAUAGCUGCAGGGGAAUAUGUGCGGACUUUGGAUUUCUUCUGCACUCACUGAACCUUGAAUAAAAUUUAAGGCUAUGUUUGGUUUGAUUACAAAUUAAUAAAAUAUGUAGUUCAAAACUUGAUUAAAUUCCGAAGAAAAAUAAAUUUUAAGAAAUUAAUAACAAACAGGGACUAACUUACUUCACUUCUCGAUAAAGUUAGUGAACUUCAUUUUAAUUUCAAAUGUUAAAAUUUCAUCAAAUAUCUUCAUUCAAGAUGACGUAAAUUGUUUAAUUGAAUUAGGGUUGGCAACGGUUCUGUUCGGCAAAAAUCAUCAUCGAAUCACUAAUUUUUUGGUCAUAUCAUAACCGCACCAUACCCACGUAAGUCGAUUCAGUUCGUUUCAGACAUUAAUAGCCACGAAUAAAGGCAAAUCCAGAAUUUCGACCCAACUAAGAUGGUCGUUGAUCAUUAACCGUCAACAGUCAAUAACCGUAUAGCGAUGUCAUUUAUUAAUUUCAAAUUAAAUAACAUUAAAAAUUAUUCUAUCUAUAUGUAGAUAUACUAAAUCGUAAAAAUCGUAUAUUCAUAUUAAAUUACAGUACAAUACAAUCCAAAAUAACAUAGAAUAAAUGCAUUAUACAUGAGACUUAUUUGUGUUAUCAAUGCUUAAUAAAUUAUUUGCUUGAUUAGAAGUAGUUAUGAGCAGGGGCGGAGCCAGGAUUUAUAUUCAGUGUGGGCAUCAUUUUUCAAAUUCGAACUUCGAGGUUUUGGUGGAACAAUGUGUACAGCAUUGCAUUUAUUAAAUGCGUCUACAAAUACAUAUAGUAUCCAAAAUCCUCCUUUUUGCUAUUCUAAACAAGACAGCUCAGGUCAUCCUCUAACAAAAUGCUGGAUAAGUAGUCAUGCUAUGUCCAUUUCUUUCUAAUGAAACGUGUUAUGAAAUAUCUGGGCCAUAUGGGACAUUUUAGAAAAGUAUCCUACUCGCUUAUCACAUUUCAAAAUGCAAAAAUAUUAAUCACCCAGCUCCAUAACAGAAAAAGACAUACCAGUAAGACAUGAUCGCUGGUUGAUCAACAAUGCUUUCACCGCCUCCAAAGGAUGGAGCUAUAUAUGGAAUCUUUAGUGCAUCAACAAAUUUUGCAGUUCUCUAUAGAUCUCUAUCAACCUAAUCAAAAUUCAAAAUGUUAAAGUUUCAGAGAAAUUGUCAGAACAGAAAUAUAUAUUGGAAUUUAGUUCAGUAAUUUAACACUAACCUCAAAACUAACCACACCACCAAAACCAUUCAUUUGCUUCUUUGCAAUGUGAUGUUCUGGAUGACUUGUCAAGCCCGAAUAAUAUACGUGCCUAAUCUGCAAUUCAUGAAUGCGAGAUGGUACUUAUUCCAGUAUAAAAACUUGCUCCGUUUGUCACUAUAUUUGAGACCAAGAUUCAUUAAACUGAACAACCACGUUGCUACCUAACACAGUACGACAUUACUUGAAAACACAUCAUGAGUCACAAGCUAUAUCUAAUUGUCUAUUAAUGCUCAAAGAUACUAUGAGAUUAGGAUUCUGAAGCAUGAUUGAGUACUUUACAUAUAAUUAGUAUUACCCAGAUAUUAUCAAUAAUCUCACCAGUUAACUGAAAUCACUUGUUUUGCUUAAAUUUUGUUCGUAAAAGAACAUUGUCCACAAAUUUUGUUCGGAAAAGAACAUUGGCAUUGUUAAACAUGCCUUCCUUCAAAGAAACUACAAUAAACUGCAGCAAAAAGAAAGGUAGAUUAAUGAUAGAUGCUAUUCUGAUAUAAAUGAUUGAUUAACGAUGACACACAAUUUUCUCGAAAUCCAUUAGCUUUCUUGAAUGAAAAUCUGAUUCCAUUACCUCUGAGACAAAUGUAUCUAAUAUCCAUAGGAGUGUUGAUAAGUUUGGACACCCUAAUUCAAGUUUAGAGAACAUAUCAAUCACUUUUUUCUCUAAAACAGAGCUUAAGCAACUAAGCAAGAAUGUCAUCAUCCCAUUAUACACUAAUACACAACACAAGUAUAUAUUAUAACAAGAAAUAGUCCAGAAAUCCUUUUUGUCUCACUGAAAAUUCCCAAUUGGAAAUCACAGAACAGCAGGCACGAUUUGGGUAUAUGUGUUUUUCAUAUAGUGUGAAAUUGAAAAUUAAAUCGAAAUCGAAAUCACCUUCUUCGUUCUUCUGGGCUCCGGCUGCUUCGGGCUUCUCCAAUCUCCACUCUCCAGUGAAUCAGUGAUUCAGUAUCAGUAUGACACUUCUUCUUUUGUUGGGCAGCUUGGACUGGCAGGCGGUGGCCGCGGCAGCUGGCGGUGGACUGGAACUACAUUCUAGAAGUCGGCGACUUCGAGCUGGAGUGGCGACUGGCGAGAUUGUGAGAAGCAGGCGAUGGGUCGAACGGUCGAGAGAGAGAGAGAGACGAUUCAAGCUCAAGUCAACCAAGGGUUCGGUUUUGAUUUGAACGAAACCGGGUCCGGGUCAGUAAACGGGCAUGGACUGUAGGCAAUUGGGCUUUUUUCAUUGAUCCAGGCUUUAUCCAAAAAAAAAAUUAAUUUGGGCCUAGUGGAGCCCAAAAGGUCAGUGCGGGCAUCUGCCCGCACUGGACCUAAUGGGGCUCCACCCCUGGUUAUGGGAUUAGAUGCACCACUAUAAAAACUAGGUUGGGACAUCGAUUGAAAAAAAAUUCCACAAUCUAUAUUAUAAUUAAAAUUACUUUUCAAAAUAUAAUUAAAGGUUCAAUUUUCAAUUUCCAAACCACUUUAUCACAAAUCAUAAAUUUCCCAAUUUCUCAUUUCCAAUUUUCACAUAUCACAUACUCACAUUUCACAAUACUCAAAUUAAUUUUUAAUAUCACAAUUCACAAUUGAUACAUUUUCAAAAUCUCAUCUACCACACAAAUAAAUAAAAAACACAAUACUAAGUUAAUUUAGCAAAUAAUAUCCCAAAUGAAAUUGCAAACAAUAUCCCAAUUCUCAAAUAAAAAAUUCGAAUUUAAUAAACAAUAUCAUCAAUAUAACAAUACUAAACAAUAUCGUUAUCCAUUAAUCCUUAUGCAUCGAACUUGAUUCCUACUCAAUAACUUAAAAGCUCCAACCUCAAUUCAUAUUCAAUCUUCUUUGAUAGAAAGAAUAAUCUCACAUCUUGUUGGCAACUGCAAUAUGUGGGUUCAAUUCCUGAGACAUGAAAUUGGACUUCUUGUAGGCGCAGUGUACAGACAGCUCUUAUUCCUUGGCCUGUUGGGACACAUCCCGCGAUUUACCUCCCUCACAAAACUCUAGGGACCAGGAGGUGGGGGCCCUCAAGGUUGGGGUUCAACCUUUAAGAAUAAUGGAAACCUAAUUGCCCAAUUAUUAUUUUUUUAAUAGGUACUUUAAAAAAAAUAAAAAUUAACGGGCAAUAGUUUUGGGGCAGGUCAACGGCGUAAAUACCAUACCCUGCCCGCCCAAAUUGGGUAAUUAAAAUCAAAUAUUAUACCUACCUCAUUGCACUAUCAGCUCGAUUUUUUUCGCUCCGUUCGACUUGGUCAACCGUGAUUUUCGAUUUUGACGGUUCGAAUUGCCAUCCCUUAUUGAUAGUCAUACAAUAAAUGUCUAAUUUAUCAAAUGCAACUUUUAGUAAGAAAACGGUAAAAUCAAGGUUGUGACAAUAUUGGAUUAAAAGGUUAAAAUGUGUAUUUAUUUCAUUUUAACACUUUUUGAUAUAGUGCGUCUUUUUGUGGUGGCACCGGAAAUCUGUUCAUCAAUUUGAAAGAAAACCUAUUAUAGAGUUUUAAAAUUAAAGAUUAAAUUGAAGUUUAGUGAUCAGUUGAAUAAAUUGAUAUCAAGUGACUUAAUGGAGUCAAAUUAAAUUUUAUUGACUUAAUUUAAAAUUCAAUGAAAGCUCUACUUUUGACUUAGCCGCCCCAUGCCGGAUUAAGGUUCCGUCCCCGUUUGACCUCCAUUUUCUAGAAAAGAAAAUGAGUGGAAUAGUAUAUAUUUUAUUUUUUUUGAAAAAUGAAUGUUUGGAAAAAGGAAAAAAAUUUCGAUUUACAUGUAAUACUAUUUUAUGAAAGAUUGUGAUUGAAAAUAUGAGAGAGAAAAAUAAAAUGUAAUGUAAUGAAACGUAUGUUCAUCAUUCUUCUUUGAUAAAGUUUAAGUCUAUUUUUAAUUUUAAUUGGAACGUAUGUCAUUGCUCAUUCUUAAAGUAAUUUGAGAGAGCAAUGAUAGCUUAUAAUCUCAAUUUAGAUAGUCUUAAUGUGACAUUAAAUAAUAGAUUAAAUGGAAUAUGAAAUUAAAUGAUUUAUUUUAUCUAAUCUAUCAUUUAAUGUCACCUAAACUGAGGUUAUAAUCACAAUGGGACUAAAUAACAUUUAAUUCAGUUUGAAACAGUAAAAACAAAUAAAUUAAAAAGACUAAACCAACUAAUUAGGUGCAAAAUGGACAACAUAGUUUGGUUGUUCAACUUGUCUCCUAUUAAAUUAAAUUUUAUUUUUGUCUCUCCUAUUUUUGAUUACACUAUCUUCCAUAAAAUAAUAUUAUACGUAAUUUUUUUUUUCAAUAACUCAUUUUUCAAAAAAACACUAUUCCACCCAUUUUAAUUUGCAAAAAUUGGGCCAAACGGGGGCUAAAACUUAUUCAACUAUCGAAGCAAGAAGAUUGAACAUUUUAAAACAAAAAAUAGUAAGCGUUCGACUUUCCAUGUUGCACUUGCUGAAAACAUCUACUUAGAUUACCAUCGAUCUAGGACCUUUUUUAAUAGAGGACAUUAUGUGUAGUGAUGGCUAUAUAUAUCCCAAUAACAAAGAAAUCUAAUUUGAAUGAUCCUGUUGUUUCGCGCAUGUUAAUCGCUAACAAUUAAAAGGGAUCAGACGAUUGUGUAAGGGACAAACCUCUUGAGACAAAAUUCCAAAAAGGAGUGUUCUUUAUUGGCGAUGAUUUUACAAUUGGAAAUUAAAAACAGAAUGCCUCCAAGGGGCGCAAGCACACGAGUUACUGAAAGAAAUGUUUAAAUCUAAACUAAGGAAUUUAAAAUUACAUGUUCUCUGUUCGAGAGUUUUUGAUUCGGUCCUUUUCCUCUAUGUCUUUUCUUCCUUUUAUACUCCCUGGAUGAUCUCUUUGUGAUCAACCGCCUAAAAACUGUUUGAUCGUUCUACAACUGUCCACUUUCCUCGUAAUGACCAACUUGUCAUGGAACUGCGUUUUUUAACUACUGCCAUUACUUUUCGUCGUUCAACCGUUUUCGAUUGAAUUCCUUGAAUCGUGGAACGUGAUAGAGCUGCUUUAAUAACUGCUUUGAUAACUGCACUUCUUGAUAACCACAACACUUUAUGUUUGCUAAAACCUUGGGCGACUCGAAGGUUUGGGCGAUAUAGAGUCACAGCUCUGGGCGACUGCAUGGCACUCCAUUCGCUCAAAUUCUGGGCGACUUGCAAACUUGGGCGAUGGUGUUACCGCGUUCUUGGGCCUCCCUAUUUGGGCCUUCAUCUUGAAUUGUUUGAUUGGGCUUCGUUCUUUGGGCUAUCAAAUUUGGAGAUUUUCCAAUUGAGUUUCAUUCCUUGGACCGUUCGAUUUGAGCUGAAUUUUUAUGUGUCAACAAUUACCCCCCAAUAUGGCAAAAUUAAUACCAAUUAUUAAAUUUUGCCAUAUUCACUUUUUGUUUCCAGCAACAUUCGAAAUUCCCAAGAAUUUCAAUCAUUGUUUUCUUCCAUAGAUUGAAAAGGUACGAUGUUUUGCAAACCCUUAUAACCCCCAGACACGUCAUUUCACUGCACCAAUAAAUCACGCCUCACUUUUUCGCAUUUCUCUCCCACGAUUUACUGUUCAUCUUUUUGCUUCCUUGCUACGUAACUCUGAAAAAACUCCGUUUCAUCCCUAAUGACUACUUCACAAUCUCAAUCUGGCGACUCCUUUAGUUUUGAUGACUUUCAGAAACUUCUGAGUCGUCCAUACAUAACUCCGAACUUUCUCGCGCCUGCCAAUGUCGAACUCAAUGAGUUCUACCUUGUUCAUUUCUUCAACAAUGCAGAGGCAGUCGAACAGGCGGCGGUGGGCCAGCUGUUUCCUUGUACUCAAGGCCCUCCAUUUCUAAACUCUUUGCCGCUGGGGCCACUUCGCAAAAGAGGUAUUCGCACUUGGCCCAAAUCUGACGUAGUUUUCCGUAGGUGGCAUGCUCGCCUUGUGGACCAUGGUCCUACAAAGGCACUUUUUGAUAAUGCUAGGAUUUCUGAUUUGUUAGAAAUCUCUAUUCAACCCCCUACUUUUGAUUCAGCACUUUUUUCGAUCGCUCUAAGUUUUUGAUCUUCUGAAUAUAAUACCUUUGUUCCCUCUUGGCCCCAUGUCUAUUACUUUAAGGGAUGUUGGGGCCUUAGUGAAUCUACCACCUUUGGGCGAUCCCAUUUUUCCUGGUAUCUUUAUUUUUGGUGGCGUCCCAAAGUUUGGUAAAAAUUACACCGAGUCUUAUUCAAGCCUGCAAGCCCUUCAUAACCAUUCGAGCGCUGAGCCUUCCCAUACUGAGUGAGUGACCUUUCUUCUGGUUUGGCUUUGUAAAUAUGUUUUAUGUGUGCCAAGUAUAAAGCCCUCCCUGAGUUAUUUACCCAUAACGCACGAAUUGGCGCGUGGCAGGCCUUUGAAUUUAUGUUCUUUCUUUUUGCCUGCCCUUUAUAGAGGCACGACUUCUCUUCAAACUCAAUUGAAGAAUGGUGCAUCUCGCACUGGUAGUGGACCUCUUUGGUUCACUCAACUGUGGUUGAGAUCCUAUUUUCCAUUUCUUGGUGCUCCAUCAAUUUCUCGUUCUUCUGCUAGCUACUAUGGGCUAGCCAUUGAGCCAUUGGCUCCUGUAAAUAUGCUUAGAAGGGACAUUUUUUCAUCCUUUUAUUCUUUGAAUUCAAUCCCUUACUUCUUUCCUUUUCUUCCUUUUUUGACUCCAAACUAUGUGCAUCCUCCCUCCACUAUAGACAGCGCAAGCACCUCUCUGCUCAUUUGGAUCCAGUUUUUAACUGGGAGGGAGUUAUUUCAUGAUAUUUUAACUGGGACCAAUGCCAAGGCAAGGGUAGAAAUAUAUGCUCCCCAAUUUUUUGCUCGCCAACUUGGUUUCGGCCAAACUUGGCCUGUUCCUCCUUGCUUUCAAGGAACUUGAUUGACCUCUUCCAUAUUAUUAAUAAGGCGAAGGCAUAGGCUAUAAAUGCUCGCAAUCUUCUUUUAACAAGCUAUUUUUCAUUAGCCCCCUUCAAUUCUAGCCACGCCAUCCAUCCAUUUUUUGAACAGCUCUGGCCGUCAGUGAAGCGCAAAUUGUUUGCGACUGAUGCCAAUAGUGCCUUUCAUUCACUGGACCAGCCGAGCAUUUCUUUCCCUCCUCCUAUUUUAGUCACUCUUUUGUCUAUCCGGAGUCCUUCUCCUCCUCGUCGCGCUAAACAGUCUGCUCGUCCAUCUUCUUCUCUCCCUGCCAAACCUACUGCAGCCAAGAGUACCCCAAGCCGCAAACGGCCAGCCUCAGCAUCUCCCAUUCUGGAGGAUAAUGUUGAUGAUGAUGAUACCCUUCUUAUUAUCAGGAGGAAGGUAAUUAAAUUGGUUUACUCACAAGCAUACUUUUCCAUAUUUGAAACUUUUCUGUGUGCUGAUGAUUUAUUUGGACUUCUCAAAAAAGUUCAGCCUCUCCUUUAAAGGCUUUGGUAUCAACAGCUCCUGCUCCAUCAUCCUCCGCUGAGGCUGCUUCAUCUGAACCAGUUGAUGAAGGGACUACGCUUAAAGAGACAUCUUCAGUCCCAGAAUCCUCAUCACAACCAAUGGAUGAGCCACCUUCUUCCCAGGGCGUCAACCCCGUAAACAUCGAAGCAGAAGGUAAUUCAGUUUUUUGAUACUUUACCUUUGCUUGUGCUAUUUGGUUUCUGAUUUGUUGCUUUUGAGUUUUGCAGAUGCUCCUAUGAGUCUGCCCGUUGUGGCAACAUCUUCUCGCUCAGACAAGGGGAAGUCAUCACGAAUGGUGGAGUCUCAGGUGGCAGACUUGGCUGAGGAUAUGCCAUCUUCCACGAUUAUUGAUGAGGUAAUCUUUGCUUCACUUUUAUUUCCAUCUUGUUGAUUGUAGUGAGAAUCUUCAAUAUUGACAAUUUUCUUUGCAGGAUGCUGACAAGAUUGUGCGUUCCAUCCAAGACUUGUUCAAUUCCUGGGGGCAAGUCAAGACAUCUCGCCCUGCUCCAUCUGGCCGUUCUGCUACUUCUUCAGAGGAAGAUUUGAAGUUCCUCAAGCAGUCGAUUUUUGAGUACGUGUCUUUCAUGGAUAUGGACGUUGGUAAGGCUAGUGCUGCCAGACACAAGGAUAAGCUUGAGCAUUUGAAUGCAAAGUUGAAGCAAGCACUGACACUUCGGUCGCUCAAUCUUUCUGCCGAUUUUAAAGCGACGUUGAAAGUUAUCUAUUCCGAGGUCCUCUCCUUUCUGGCCAAGAAUGCUGAACUAAAGGCCAAAAGUACUCAAUAUCUUCGCGCCGUAUUUGAAAAAGAGUCUUUGCAUCUGGAAAUCAACAAGGCUGAUGAUGAGUUGAAAGAAAUCUCUUCCGAAGUCAUGAUUGAAGACUCUUUGAUGGUUAGUUUGGCUGCUCAGAUGAAGGAAUUCAGGCCAAAAUGGACGACUGCAAGGUGAGAAUGGCUGCUAAAAAGCGCAACCCCUCCCAAGGAAUUGAGCUAACUAAGUCUUUGGUCGAGUAGUACAAGAAGUUGGAAGUUGAUGAUGAUGUCUUGGCUGAAUUGAACAUCACUUCCUCUCGGCAGAACAAGGAUUGGGAAAAAUUUAGGGAAUGAAUUCGUUCAGUAUGGAGUGCAUUAUAAUUAAGACAUAUGACGCCUUAACUUUUCUUUUUGUAAUUUCGCAUUUGACUUUCCUUUUGUAACCUUGUUCAUCAUUAAUGAACAUAUAUGUUAACUUCUUGUGCAUUUAUUUAACGUUUGUCUUUUAAUCGCCAAUUCUUUAAGCAUUUAACUGUUUUGUGCUAAAAAUCUUGCACAUUUUCUCUUGAUAUUUCCACCUCUUUUUACAAAACUUUGGGCUGCUUAAUUCCAUUUACUAGGCAGAAUGUGGCUGCUCAUAUUCUGUCUCUUCAUCUCCACCCCCUAUAAAUGUACGUAUGCUUCGCACUUUCCAUCUUCCAUCUUCAUCUUCAUUUUCUUCUUCGAAACCAAUUUGCUGCCAUUGUUUGGCUUUCUGACAAUCAAUCCAAAACCUUCGUCUUUCUAUAAAAAUGGAUUGUUUGGUCCGCCCGUUUUACUAUUUGCCUUGAUGUCACCUAUGGUGUGAGAGGUAUAGGAAAUAUUUUUUGGCCAGCAGCAAAGUUUUUACCAUCAAAAUUCUUCCCAUCGUCUCUUUAUCCUUUACAAGGAGUUCGAUGACAGAAGGCAAUUUUUGGGAUGCUUGCGGGACACCUUGCUUGCUGAGAGUGCUUCCUUAUCGGAUCUCUGAGGCCGCCAUUGUAGCGAUGCAUUUAGGAAGGUGGUGUGAGGCCAGUCCACCCUCUUACUUGGCGAUCCCACCAUUGCAGCGAUACAUUUAGGAAGGCGGUGCGAGGCCAAUCUACCCUCUUACUCGACGAUUGACCGGGAGAUUAGCUUACUUUUAAUUGUA
RNAcentral lists this long non-coding RNA (60284 nucleotides) under Olea europaea (common olive). RNAcentral describes it as "long non-coding RNA (OEUR_LNC001954)". The record is from RNAcentral. Lineage: Eukaryota; Viridiplantae; Streptophyta; Magnoliopsida; Lamiales; Oleaceae.